This is a non-coding RNA of Podarcis lilfordi (Lilford's wall lizard), 46326 nucleotides long. The record is from the annotation of a GenBank genome assembly. NCBI's taxonomy places the organism in Eukaryota, Metazoa, Chordata, Lepidosauria, Squamata, Lacertidae.
CUCAUACUGAUGUUAACCACCUUAUGAAAAGUGAGACAUUGGUCACACGUUGUAGCCAGCUGAUUUUCAUGAGAAAGGUUCCUUCCUUCCUUCCUUCCUUGGUCACUGGCAGGUAGGCAGGCUCCAUUAUCCACUACUUAUUUUAGACCAUGGGAUGACUGCCUUCUGUAUCCUUCUGCCUGCCAGCGAAGAACAUCUCUCUGUGCUAUGUCCAUCUGCUGCCUGCCACAGAUUUCUGUAACCAAAGGAGAUCCAUGAAAAGGUAAGCAGCCAUUCUCUGGAGCUCCCAACAGAAAGCCAGCACUGGAACGGUUGAAGUUAUUCCCACUGAAACUAAAUUAAAACCAUAAACCUAAAGUAUUUCCUCUUGAACACUCCUAAAUAAGGGAAUUCAUGACCACAAUGACUACCAUCUUAAAUGAGAGCAUAAGAGGAGCAGACAAAUGGAUGGAGUUAGUAAUGUGGAGCCUCCAAGUUCGGAUAUAGUAUGUUUUUGAGUGCAGGUGCCACUCUUGGAAGGGAGAGAACAACAGAGGGAUGCUUUUUGCCUUCAUAUCCAGCUUUGUGAGCUCAAAGGCAUUGGUUUGGCUGCUGUUGAAGGCAUGAUGUCUCGAUGGGACUUCAUGUUGAUACAGCAGGGCUCUUCUUAGCUUUGUCACUGAAAAUGCUGGAGUAUCCUAGACUUCCAACUCAAUGAGUAUACAACUUCUCUUCAUAUCGUUUGCCUCUCCAUUCCACCCUUUGCUGCCUCAACCAAGUUACUAAAGGUCCCCAUCUAAGCAUCCUGGUUUAACCAAGGAAAGCCCUGCCCUUUGGAGGAUAGCUCAGUCAGUACAGCACGAGACUCUUAAUCUCAGGGUUGUGGGUUUGAGCACCACCAGGGGCAAAGAAAUUCCUGCAUUGCAAGGGAUUGGACUGUGUGGUCCCUUCCAGCUCUACAACUCUAUAAUUCUAUGAUUCUAACUUGGAUGGUGAUUGAACUGAUGGCACAACUUGUGUGAGUUAAAGGCUUUGCUUGGGAAGAGGGAACCACCGGUUCGCAAUGCUAUUUAUCUUCAUUAAAAUAAGCCUUACCUAUGGGCACUACUUUGUUGUUGUUGUUUAGUCGUUUAGUCAUCCGACUCUUCAUGACCCCAUGGACCAGAGCACGCCAGGCACUCCUGUCUUCCACUGCCUCCCGCAGUUUGGUCAGACUCAUGCUGGUAGCUUCAGGAACACCAUCCAACCAUCUUGUCCUCUGUCAUCCCCUUCUCCUUGUGCCCUCCAUCUUUUCCAUCAUCAGGGUCUUUUCCAGGGAGUCUUCUCUUCUCAUGAGAUGGCCAAAGUAUUGGAGCCUCAGCUUCAGGAUCUGUCCUUCCAGUGAGCACUCAGGGCUGGUUUCCUUCAGAAUGGAGAGGUUUGAUCUUCUUGCAGUCCAUGGGACUCUCAAGAGUCUCCUCCAGCACCAUAAUUCAAAAGCAUCCAUUCUUCGGCGAUCAGCCUUCUUUAUGGUCCAGCUCUCACUUCCAUACAUCACUACUGGGAAAACCAUAGCUUUAACUAUACGGACCUUUGUUGGCAAGGUGAUGUCUCUGGUUUUUAAGAAUCUGUCUAGGCUAGCAAUCCUCUUUCUGAAGCCUGCUAUUCUGAUAAUUGAAUCUGGAGUUCCAAGUCUGGUCUAAGUACACUGCAUGCUCGCUUGUUUGUUUGGUGACCUGGCUUGGGAGACUAAUUGUUUUCCGUUGCCUUGAGGAAAACAAAUAGUGUUCUAUAUUCAGUCUAGUUCUAGCUCAUGUUCCCGUGCUUCCUUUAAUUUUCCAUGAUGCCCUAUGAGAAAAUGGAAUAUAGGCUUGCUCAGUAUGAAUGGAAGCAACUGCAGGUCUUCAAAAUGAUGGAUGCCGUCAUCCCGCCCCGUGGCGGGAGUUAUAUUUCUCAGUGACACAAGAGGAAAGAAACAAACUUUUUCAGAGGAGCAAGAACCCUCCAGUUCUUUAAAGAUGCAUUGGUAUUUCCAGAGCUCAGAUAAUUUUUCUGCCAGAAGCAAAUGUGACCUAACUUUAGAUUUGGCCUUUGUACAGAAUCCCCAUUGUUAAAAGAUGUGACUUUUAAGUAUUGUAGCAAAGAUGUGAAUGGGUAGAUCAUCAAGCAAGGAGGUCAAAGUUUGUCUAAGUUAAAACAAGGCUUUGGACAGACAACUUGGAUCCUGUUGCCUGUCUCUUGAGCCAUCUGUUGUUAUGUAGUUAGCAGCACAUGUUUAAACAUAACUUUUUACUGCUCCCUUGUAUGGACUGCAAUCCCACCUCCCCUUCAUUCCAGUUGUCUUAUUCUCCUUCUUGGUUACAACUGUUUGCUUACGAAAAUGGUGCUUGUAGUAUCUAGUGCAGGCAUUGACAAGAAAAGUCUGUUGCAUUUAGAACAUUUUCAGAAGUGACUUAUCAGAAGACGUUCUCCACCAAGAAUGCAUUCAUUUGGUAAACAAGCGUCUGUGUUUAUUGCCUCAGCUGUAAAGCACUCUCAUGUGUAUUUAAAUGUAUGUAUAAAUCUCACGUUCGCCCUUGAAAAAUACUUGCCACUGGGCUCCUGGUACUUUCCUGUUGGCUGUCUGUGGGUAUUUUGAUGGGGAAAGCCAAGUUCAUGCAAGCAUGCAUCUUUCAGUCCUCUUAUUGGCCACAUCUAGGUACAAAGUAGAGACAUCACCUUGCCAACAAAGGUCCGUAUAGUAAAAGCUAUGGUUUUCCCAGUAGUGAUGUAUGGAAGUGAAAGCUGGACCAUAAAGAAGGCUGAUCGCCGAAGAAUUGAUGCUUUUGAAUUAUGGUGCUGGAGGAGACUCUUGAGUCCCAUGGACUGCAAGAAGAUCAAACCUAUCCAUUCUGAAGGAAAUCAGCCCUGAGUGCUCACUGGAAGGACAGAUCGUGAAGCUGAGGCUCCAAUACUUUGGCCACCUCAUGAGAAGAGAAGACUCCCUGGAAAAGACCCUGAUGUUGGGAAAGAUGGAGGGCACAAGGAGAAGGGGACGACAGAGGACGAGAUAGUUGGAUGGUAUUCUCGAAGCUACAGACAUGAGUUUGACCAAACUGCGGGAGGCAGUGGAAGACAGAAGUGCCUGGCGUGCUCUGAUCCAUGGGGUCACGAAGAGUCGGACACGACUAAACGACUAAACACCACCAACAACAAAGGUACAAAUGUGGAAGUGAUAUUGUAGACCUGUUGCUGCCUAUGUUUUUCUGCCUUGCCAUGUUUGUUGGUCAAACUGUUGUGAUAGUGUUUUAUGUAGCAGCAAGGGGGAAAAUGGAAAUGAGCACCUAACAGUAUAACCACCAUCGGUGCAAUAGAUGAGUGCUACAUGAAUCUACAGGACCUAUUGGAUAAUACCUGUGUGAUCUCUGAAGAUGUGUUGCACUCUGUUCUCAUGCACACCUCAGCUAUGUCUGGUGGAUUCUAUUUUGUUUAUUUUAGUAUUGUAUAAGAUUUGGGCAUGUGUGGACGAGCACUUUCCAGGCAUGGAACAAGUGGAAGUGUGACUGAGCCCUGAGACCCUGGCAAACCUCUGUCUGAUCCUGGUCUACUGGAUCAGAUACACCCAAUGAUUUGACCUAGAAGAAGACAGCUCCGUAUGUUUGUAGGAACUCAACCCCGGCCCCGUUCUUUUCUGCUUUGGAAUGCAGGCAGGAAAUACGAAACUGAUUCCUACAAUUUCAUUUGUUUAAGCAAUUUCAAGAUCCCCAUGACAGGGAACGCAUCGUGGUCAGCAGAGUAUGUGGAGUGUAAUGUACCAGCAGGGCAGAAAGGCUAACUUGAGAGUGGGAUUAAAAUUCACAGUUCAAUUUACAGUGGCACGUACAGUUGAAACCCACUGCCGAGUGUGUAUCCCACUCAAGACUUAAAGAGUUCUCUUUGUGAAGCCUACUGUGAUUUUUGGCUGUGGAAGGGAAGUGGGUAUGCAAAACAAAGCUCUUUUUACUAGUCAAACGUUUACAGUGCAAACAAAUUCAACUAUGCAUUACUUCAAAUUGAAAAUUAACUGACCAAAAAAUUCUAUUCAAGUGUCCUUAUUGUUUGCUUUCUUGUUUCCAGAGGAGAUUGGAAUUUUGCAAGGGAAACACUAAAGGAAGAAAGGUGAUCAGUACAGGAAGGUAGCAAAAUUUGCAGAAUUAGAUUCCUAGUCACUUAAUUCCAUUUCCAACACAAGAGAUUUGUUUUAAAUGGAAGCUGCAGUGCAGGUUUAUUUUAUGUCUCCAGAGUUACAGGGAGGCAUGUACUAUGGAAUGCGGCAUUCAUAAUGAAAUGCUGAAGAAGCUUGUUCUGUUGCGUUUGAAGAACGGGAGUCAUAAGGCUGUAUACUCACCUACCUGCGAGUAAGCCUUAUUAAGCUCAAUGAGCUUUUAGUUCUGAAUAGAUAUGCAUAGGAUUGUGCUGUCAGGGACCACCAUUAUCUUUAAAAAAUAUAUUAAAGGGGGAUAACAAAAGGUAGCGGUGAUGCAGCGGCAGUUAUGUAGUGCUUAAGAAUGUCCAAAAAGCUUCACAGAGAUUGCAUCAAUAAUCCUUGUGACAAAGACAGAGAACGUGCUGUUCUCCAGAUGUUGGACUCUUAGUUCCCAUCAGUCCCAGCCAGCAUAGCCAGCAGUGAAGGAUGAUGGGAAUUGACCUCCCACAACAUCUGGAUGGCCCCAGGUGCCUCACCUCUGAUUUCAACAAGCCUAUACAGUAGGACAGUGUCAGUACUCCUCUGCAGGAGAUGAUGGUUAAGGCUGAAAGGUUGUGAGUUGCAUAAGACCACUUACAAUGACAGAGGUGAGAGUUAGGGUAUGUUCACAUUAGCAGCAUAAAAUGUACUGAGGUUGUUGUCCAUCCGUCCGGGCUGCGUUUCAAGCCACAUUUGGACAAAAUGAAGCCUGAAGGAAAAAGUAAAUAAAGAAGGAAGGUAGGGAGCAGCCAAAAUCCAUUUACGAUUGGUAGUCACAAAGGAUGAAGUUCUCAAGGCAGAUGCUCAAAGGAUACUGGGAUCGUGAGACAGAACUUUGCAUUCCUGACCUAGGUUGGAGGUAAGUAUAGUUCAGCCAUCCCCAUCCCAGUACCCUUAGAAGCUCUCAUCAAUACCAGCCAGCAGAGUCAAUAGUGAGUUGUAACUUAUAUAUCUGGAGUGCACCAGGUUGGAGGAGGCGGGAGUGCUCUGGUCCAUGGGGUCACAAAGAGAUGGACAAAGCUAAGCGACUAAACAACAACAGAUGCCUUACACAAGAUUUGAAGAUAAAACUUUACUUGUUCAGCUGUGCUAGCCUGACAAGUAUUAUUCUUAUAUGUAUUAAUGAGUGCAAUACAUUUCUCUCCCUUGAGCCCAAGAGAGGGUUUAGUCCUUUUGUUUUCAAAACUCCUUCAUAUCAGUGCAUAAGUUGUUAAUCCAUAACUUGCCCAUCCUCACAAGCACCUUUAGUCAGUGUCUGCUCAAAGUCACCACACUCCCACGUUCUUGGUCAAAGGAUCAACUAACAGAAUAACCAACCAGCUCCCAACUGCCAACUGCCACCUCCUUUCCCCAAUACCAUUUAUUCGUUGUGAAAUACAUUUACAAUGCAAACACAAUACAGAUACUAGCAACAUACCCUUGCCUUCUGUGGGAGGGCUUUGGCAGUAGACCCCAUGCUUUUGCAUGCAGAAGGUCCCAGAUCAAUCCCCAGUGCCUUCAGGUAAGGUUGUCUGAAACCCUGGAAAACUGUUGUCAAUCAUGUACAAUAGACAACGCUGAGCUAGAUGGACCAAUCGUCUGAUUUGACAUGUUUACAUCUUUCUAUUUUCUCAUUUGGGGAGAUGAUCAGGUUUCAAGUAUACUUGGAGUAAUUCUGAAUGCACUUGCAUGCUUAUGUUACCUCGAUAUAUCUUUAGAGCUUCUACAAACGAAUUUUGAAUUCUGCACCUUAGCUGAGCAUUGUUCGGAUUUGCAAGAGGGGAGGUACAACUUGUGGAUGGAUGCACUCUGUGAGUCGUCAGUUAUUCACAUUUCUUUUGCCUUGGUAAAGUCUGCCUUAAGAUGUCAUCUUUCAUCAGCCAUCUGUUAAUAAGAUACUACUCAUGGUGACUGUUAGUUGAGAAGCUAUAUUUCAAGGCUGACUGUCGCCUGGUAACUACUGCAAACCGUAGUACUGCGAAGCUGAAGAAAUACUUAAAAUUGUCGGAGAGAGUGUUAAAACACCAAGGAUUAGCAACUGUACAAACAAGUCCUGUCUCUAGCUGAAGUCAAUUAAUGGUGAAAUAGUUACAGAGUUUACGUCUUGUGCCAAAGGACUGAGAUUUGGGCCCAGAUGCAUUGGCUUUAAUCACUUGUUCGUUUAAGUGCACGGGGGCAGGGGGGCCGCUCUAGCAAUUAAGUUUUGAGUUUUGGCAGAGCCUUCAGAACUUCCAUUAGUUAGGCAAAUUAUGGGAUAGAUUGUACUUGGAACAGCUGUCCUUGUUAAAAAAAAACCCUCUCUUAAAAAGUAAACAAUGGGUUGUGUUAUAAAAAGAGAGAGAGAGAGAGAGAGAGAGAGAGAGAGAGAGAAGAAGCUUCAUCUGUGUCCCACAUCAACAUGUUUAUUAAGGAAACAAGUUAACCAAAAAAAUGCAGGGUUCUCUUCCACUCCCCCCUCUCUGAAGACAUCUAGAAGAACUAGCAUGAAAUUAUUAUUAUUAAGAAUCAAGGGCCGCAAUCCAAAGAACUUCCUAACAAUUCCUAAGCAUUCCUAGAAGGACCUUGGAAUGGUUGAGCUUUGUAAAGUGCUCUCUUCUGUGGGCCCAGCCACCCCAGAGGCAUGUAUGUCUUGUAAAGAAAUAUAUAGAGGCUGAGGAAAAAUGGAUGGAAAGGAUGAACAGUGGUCAUUUACACAACACCAAGAAAGACCUGUGGAUGGGCAACUUCUAGGCCUCUGCUCUCCCCACUUAUUAUGGGCCUUUAAACUGGACUUGGGCCACAUUCAUGCCAUACAUUAAAAGUGCAGUGAUACCACUUUAAACACUUCCCCCCAAAGAAUCCUGAGGCCUAUACUUUGUUAAGGGAGCUGGGAGUUAUAGGAGACUCCCCGUCACCCCACGCUACAAUUCCCAAAGCAGUUUAGCAAUAAAAACCUUCUUCCCAGAAAGCUCUGGGAAUUGUAGCGGGGUGGGGGGAACUGGGAGUCUCUGAAUAACUCUCAGGUCCCUUGACAAAUGAUAGUCCCCAGGAUUCUUUGGUGGAGGGAGCCACGACCAGUAAGGGGGAUCACGGCACUUUUAAUAUAUGCUGCAAAUGUGACUUCAAACAUGGUCACCCUCAUGGAGAAGAUGUUUAACUCUUUCCCCUUUCUGCUGAUCCAGCCCUAUAUAUGCUCCCACCAGGCUCAGAAAUGCUUUCUCUCCCCCCCCCCCCGUCAGACUUUGAAAUCGGAAGUGAACCUGGCUGUGGGGAAAAUAUCCAUGGGGAGAAGUGGUGUUUGCACAUCUUGGCUGUACGUCCUGGAAGACCUGCUCCCUGCCUUGCAUGCCUUUUCCCACUUGGCCUGGGAGGACCUAUCUGACUCCAGUGGCAAAAGCUGAGGCUGCUGAAUAGACUGUUGGGUUGGGAUAUUGUUUGGGAGGGAGGGUGUUGCUGUCAUUCACACACACACCUCUUUUUAAAACAGGACGCUGUGGGUUAAACCACAGAGCCUAGGACUUGCUGAUCAGAAGGUCGGCGGCUCGAAUCCCCGCCACGGGGUGAGCUCCCAUUGCUUGCUCCCUGCUCCUGCCAACCUAGUAGUUCGAAAGCACGUCAAAGUGCAAGUAGAUAAAUAGGUGGGAAGGUAAACGGCGUUUCCGCGUGCUGCUCUGGUUCGCCAGAAGCGGCUUAGUCAUGCUGGCCACAUGACCCGGAAACUGUAUGCCGGCUCCCUCGGCCAGUAAAGCGAGAUGAGCGCCGUAACCCCAGAGUCGGCCACGACUAGACCUAAUGGUCAGGGGUCCCUUUACCUUAUCUUUUUAAAACUUAUUAUGAAUUAUGUAGAAAUGGUUGCAAUUUGGUUGCAUACUUUCUGAUGUGUUUUAUCUUUGUGGUUACUUUUGUUGUAUUUGUGUUUUUUCAUGCUGUUUUAACCAUGGAAAGAUAGCAUACAAAUAAAUGGAUGCAUGUAUGUACGAAAGAGGAUUAAGCACCUGUCCUCAUCCGGUGAUCUUCCUCUCUAAGCACACUUUGGCCUUGCAGGCUCCACAAUGAUCUCAGUAGUAUAAAAUGUAGGGUUGGAUUCAGGUGGUUUCUAAGAUUAACUUGGUUUUCAGUCUUGAGCCGUGUAGACAGCUAUUCCUUUGGGGCACUCUCUAGAUGGUUUGCCUUUGAUAUUUGCAGUGUGUCUUGACAGAGCUUCUUGACCCCGUGAAAAAUGCAAACUUGUGCAUUGAAGCAGCAAUUAGUAUUUUGGUCACCGAAGCCAAAUUAUGGUGGUAGACCCAAGCUAUGUAAAAAAGCUUUCAAGAAGACAUUAACACAUUUAUAGUGUGUUGUGUUCUCAAGGUUCAAGAGCCUAUGGCUAUAAACCAACUAUCCCAAAGUUUUAUAAUAGAUGUGGGAGAGAUUGAGAAGAAAGAUGUGCAUCGUAAAACUUUCUAAUUGAACAACACGUACUCAUUACCCUGAUGUUUUGGGCCCUGUAUGAGGAAUUUCAGAUAACAGGUAAAGUAUGUUUACAAGCCCACAACUGGAGAGGAAACAUAAUUACAAUUCAAAAUUUAAAAACGAUUUUACAGUGCGCUCCUAUGCUGAUCUUCUCGGAAAUCUAAGUCCUAUUCAGUUCAUUGAGGUUCACUUCCAAGAAGGUCAUCGGUCAUUGGAGCUGUAGUCAUUUGAAAGCUGUACAUUCAGAGCACACAAACUCAAGUUUUGUUUUAUGAUGCAUGAGUGUGUCUGUCUGUCUGUCUGUCUGUCUGUCUGUCUCUAGGAAAGCUGAAUGUCACCAUCUUCAUUAUUUAGGGAUGUGAUGUCCUGUUACUGCUGCAGAUUUAGCAGUCAUGGCAAAAUUUGGAGGCGGGAUUCAACUAAGUUGUUGUGCACGUGGAACAAAGUUUGCUUGUGCAAUGGGUCUUUCCUCUGUUCUCUCUUUGUUUGUCCCCCAUGCUCCCACAUCUGUUCUGGAUAGUUGUGGGGGUUGGAAAACCCAGAACUGAUUUAGAGGUGGCGUGGUGAGGAGGAGGUUUGUCUAGAAGAGACAAAACCAUGAGCCCAGGUUCAGGCAACAUACUAAACCAAACCAUGACUUAGCUCGCAACAGUGCAGCAGUGGGAAGAACGGAGGAGGGGCAAAGCAGCCACAACCUCUCCACUCGCCUGCAUGGUUUGGAUUAGUGUUGACAUGUAAACUGAGCCAUUAGGUUCCAAAGACCUAAAGGAAUGAGCAAGUUUUGAUCUGUCCCCUAAGUAUGGGUAGCAAGAGAGACAGCCUAGUUCCAGAACAGGGGUGCCACUACGGAGAGGAAAUUCUUUGGCAAUCACUCAUAGCCAAGUAAGAUUGUCUUCCAUAAACAUGGUUUUAACAGUGAGUCCGUAAGUGACUGUGGAGGCCAAUUCUGGAUCCACACAUCCUUCCACAGUAUGGACAUAUGUUUCUGAGUGGGAGUUGAUCAUGGUGAGGGUUUGCCAAGCGUGCCUUCCUCUUAGCACUUUCCCCCUUUUCAUCCUGAGUUUGAGCAUCUUCAAAGCCUUUGGUGGAAAUCACAAGCCCAGCUGCUGCUUGUCUAGUUGUUUAACAACCCCAGUGCUGGAAAGGGAGGCUAUGUGUCAGGGUGUGUGUGUGAGAGAGAGAGGGGGGGUGAUGGAUCAUUGGUGUGCAUGAUUGUGCAUGUGAUUAUGUAUGAGAGAAUGAAUGUAUGAUGAAAGAAAGGGAACUCACCACCAUCCUGUGCCCUUAAGUCUGAGGAAACAUAGGAUUGCUUUCUUCCACAUGUACCUACUAUUUGUUGCUUAAGAUCUACCUCAGAUGCCCCACUCUGGCUUCCUCCAGUGUCUAUUGUUUCAUGCCAGCCCAAUCUCUGAGCUGUGCGAGAUUUCAGGGGUUCCGGGCAUUUACCCAGGCUUCGUGUUUUCUUUGGAAUGAGGCACAGCGAAGACCGUGGUGUCUUUAUGAUAAAAGGUUUAUUUACACAUAUAUGCACUGUUCACAGCAUGAACGCUCCAAAAGGGUCUUGCUUCUCCCAUAGCUUGUGGCACAGGAUUCAAGCAGAAACCAGGCAUCAUUCUGUUUCUCUGGCUUCCCAGUCUGUGCUUCCAGCUUCUAGCUCACAUUAUUCAACUCUCAUUUCUCAUCUUUGUCUGUCUGUCUUUUUUAUAUAUUAGUUUUUAUUAGUUUUCCAAAUUAUUACAAAUCCAUCCAAAUUACUUAAAUUUAAUACGGUUUCUUAAAAAUCAAGUUUCCCGCUCCUGUUGCAAACAUAUGUCCAUCUCAUCCUCCUAUUGCCACAUCUUCUGUUCUUAAAUUUCCAUUUCAUCCAUUACUAGUUGUUGUCCAAUCUAACAGCAAGCCAUAUAUUCCUCCACACAAGCAGCACCUCUCUGUUAUAUAAAUAUAAAAUCCAUUUCAUGUGUGUAAAGGUAAAGGGACCCCUGACCAUUAGGUCCAGUCGUGGCUGACUCUGGGGUUGCAGCGCUCAUCUCGCUUUAUUGGCCGAGGGAGCCGGCGUACAGCUUCCGGGUCAUGUGGCCAGCAUGACUAAGCUGCUUCUGGCGAACCAGAACAGCGCACGGAAAUGCCGUUUGCCUUCCCGCCGGAGCAGUACCUAUUUAUCUACUUGCAGUUUGAUGUGCUUUCAAACUGCUAGGUUGGCAGGAGCAGGGACCGAGCAACGGGAGCUCACUCUGUCGCGGGGAUUCGAACCACCAACCUUCUGAUCGGCAAGUCCUAGGCUCUGUGGUUUAACCCACACCACCACCCACAUCCCCUUCAUAAUUUCCACCUUUGUCUUUCUAACUACCAGCUAGUUGAGGGAGGGGGCGCACCCAUUUGCCCUCUGGCACUGAACCAUUUCCUUUGUUCCAUUAAAUGCCCAUUGCCUAGGCUAUCGCCUCACCGGGAAGCUAGCCUGGAAUUUAAAGGGUCAACCUACAACCCUCCCUCCAGCACAUAAUAGUCUAGUGAGGUGUGGUUAGGGCCUUUGUGACAGUAACACCAAAGCUCUGAAACUCCCUCUCAGAUGACGUCUGACCUGCUCCAUUGUGGUCGACCUUCCUGUGACAAGCAACAGUUGUCUAGUUUUGAAGCAAAAAAAAAUAAAAAAAAAUGCUAUCAUUUGUAACGGCACCUCUCCUGCUUAUUUUUGCUGUUCCUACUUAUUGCAUCUCGUUUUAAUAUCUUUAGCUGCCUUGUUGAUUCAAAAAGCAAGAUACAAAUGUUCAAAAUAAAAUAAAAUGAAAUAAAGAAAGGCAGACGACUUCCCACUCCAGGGACCAUCUUUAAAAUUAGGUCUUUUAGAAGAUGAUGAUGAACACACCCACACCCCACCUCAAGUGGACCCAACAAACAUGAAGCAAGAUACUGAUAUGUAAACACAUACUGAAGGGCGUUUUGCUCUCAGGGCAUAACGAGAAAUAAAAGCCCGAAAAUGCAAAUUUCUUUAGUCUUAUAAAGUUCCUGGGUGGUCCUGAUCACGAACAUUUGCUAAGUAUUAUGGAAGUCCCUUGGCAAAGGAUUAGCACUUGUUGGCAGCACUGCAGUAAAAGAUUAGUCCCAAGAAGCUGUUACAUCCUCUUCUGUUAAAUGUUCCUUCACUUAAAGAGAGUGGAGCCUCAAAGUGACAUGAACCUAAUGGUACUUAUUAGGAGAAAGCUGUGUGCGUCUUAAAAUCAAGUCUCACAUCCCAUGCCUUUCCAACAGGCAGCAGAAGGUAAAAAAGAAAGAGUUGUCUUUUCAGAAUAGGCAGCUGCUUAUCCUUUUCAUUUUUUACGAAUCCAUUUUUUAAAGAUGUGACGCUUAUCAGCUUAGGAAGGAAUCCGUGCCAUUAUGGAAGCUCAAACUCUAGCAUCCCAGAGUAAAGUUAGAAAGCAAUGACAAUUUUUAUACUGCCUUUCAUCAUACCAGAUUUCAGGAUAGAGCGAAGCAAAAAUGACUGUGAAUAACUUAGAGACUCAAAAGCAUUAUACCAAUGCUGAGAAUUUAUAAAAUAACCGGAACAGACACUUUUCAAAGGCAUCUCCAUGUAAAGUGAAUUACUGUAGUCUAAUCUAAUAAGGCAGCCAGAACUUGGAUAUUGCUGAUUUUUUAAGCCAUGAGGAAAGCUGAAAACAGAUUUGUAGGAAAACUGUGCAUAUAUAUAUAUAUAUAUAUAUAUAUAUAUAUAUAUAUAUAUAUGCAUGCAUUCAGAAUGUAUUUCAGAUAUAUUGUUGAUAACUUCCAAAUGUUGUACAUACAGAGCUAGCAUAGGAUGUGAGAGUUAGCCUUUGGGUAUUUUGUUUGAACCAUUUUGGCUGAUUUAUUGUCUGGCCAAAUUCUCCAACAAAGCCUCAAAAGACAACAAAUUCCCUUAACCCUGCUUCUGUGGUUUGCGGUAACUCACAAAAGUUUACUUUUGUGAAACUUAUUAAGAUUUCCAUUUUGCAAACCUGUGUGUAAAACAAAUAUAAUAGUCGUACUUUUUCCAAACUGAUGAUGUUCUUCCUAAAUUGGGGUCUCAUUUCUGUUUUCACAUGCUAUGAGUUUCCAUGAGCAACUCAUAUUCAUUACCAUGACAGGGACUUGGGUGUGGGUAUUAAAAUAACUUUGCCCUUCAAGGAGCAUUUAAUGAAAUCUAUAAAAUAGCAGGACCUGAGAUUGUGUAGAUAUAUAAUUCUCUGGUAUGGCUUUGUUUCUAGAGUCUUGCCAUGAGUUUUUGGGUGUCAGUUUUUGAGUUCUCAAAUAAGUGCAUGUAGUACAAACAGCUAAAUCUCCAUAUUGCUUACAUUUGAGUGCUGUAAUAUGCUCUAAGCUUUACUGCAUUUUAGCAGGUUGAACCUAUUGCAGACACACUGAUUAUCCUCUGUAGGAAUGGGGGAUUAAUCUAGCAAUAGAGGAGAAAUUCUAUUUAGUGGACAUUUAAAGACAAACCUAUCUAAUUUGCAAUUUCCGAAACAAUACACAGACUAAAACACUUUGAGAUUUGCAUUUGCCUGAAUUUUGCAGUGCAGUUAUCCAGCCAAUUAAUGCUCACGGAUAUGCAGUCAUUCGCCCAUCUCCCCUCUGCACUACCCAGGUAUAAGAUGACCCCCUCAAUUUAUACUUUAUUUUGGAGUAAAAAACCCUUGUCUAAUACAAGGGUAAUUCAUUGACAGAACUCUGCAUCCAGAAGGUCUCAUGUUCAUUCUGCACCCUGACCAUUUAAAAUAACAUGGAGGGAUAGGAUGUGAAAAAAUUGGCCUGCCUCAAGUCUUGGAGAUCCUCUGUUCACAGAAGAGACAAUGCUUGAAAGGCCAUUGGUUUGCUUCCGUAUAAGACAGCUUCUUGUGUUCAUAUGAUCUGGUCAAUAUAUGUGUCAGCAGCCUUGAGGGAUCUGGAGGAAGGGGAGCUCUUUCAACAUUUGCAACAGUAAAUACUGAUAGUCAAAAACUGCCUUGUGUUUGGCAUCCAAACAUGGGUUUCAAUCUUUGAUGUUGACUUUGUUAUCUAUGCUUUAUGCUUCUCCUUUUCAAUCUGCAGGUUCAGUCCUCUGCUGCACCAUACCCCUCCACCCUCCUUUGUUGACAAGAAGCAAGAGGGGUGUGAUCACCCAUUCACGUGGAAAAUGUAAGUAUUUUGAUGCCUUCAACACAAUGGACUGUGCAUGGAAUGUUAAUGAUCUUCUUCUUCUUUGGUGAUCACUCGUUGCCAAGUAAGAUUGUCUUCCAUGAACACGGUUUUGAUAGUGAGUCCAUAAGUGACUGUGGAGGCCAAUUCUGGAUCCACACGUCCUCCCACAGUGAGGACAUAGGUUUCCGGGCGGGAGUUGAUCAUGGUGAGGGUUUGCCAAGCGUACCUUCCUCUUAGCAUGUUUCUCCCUUUCAUCCUGAGUUCGAGCAUCUUCAAAGCCCAUGACACCUUUGGUAAAGGUUGUUCCCCAAUUGGAGCGCUCACAGGCCAGUGUUUCCCAGUUGUCGGUGUUUAUGCUACAUUUUUAAAGAUUUGCCUUGAGAGAAUCUUUAAACCUCUUUUGUUGACCACCAGCAUUACGCUUUCCAUUUUUAAGUUCGGAAUAGAGUAGUUGCUUUGGAAGAUGAUAAUCAGGCAUCCGCACAACAUGACCAGUCCAACAAAGUUGAUGUUGAAGAAUCACUGAUUUGACAUUGGUGAUCUUUGCUUCUUCCAGUACACUUGCAUUCUGUCUUCCCAAGUGAUGUGUAACAUUUUUUGGAGACUCUAUUGCUGGAAUCUUUCGAGGAGCUGGAGAUUGCGUUGAUAAGUGGUCCAUGUUUCACAAGCAUACAGUAAGGUUGAUAGUACAAUAGCUUUGUAAACAAGCAUUUGGGUUUCCCUGCGAAUGUCCUGGUCCUCAAACACUCUGCGCUUCAAUCAGAAGAAAGCUGCACUCGCAGAACUCAGGGGAUGUUGGAUUUCGCCAUCAAUGCUGGCCCUUGUGGAAAGAUAACUGCCCAGGUAGGAGAGGUGAUUGACACACACUGGGCUGUGAAUGGAAUGUUAAGGAUAACAGCCCCUCUGCAGAAACCAGGCAGUGAAGUAUUCACUUAGAGCAGAAAUGUAUGGGCAAUGAAACCAUAAUACAUGCAGGCCAAGCAAUCCCAAAGAUGGAUGUGAGCCUGCCAAGGUCCUCCUAGUCCUUUUGCCCUGCCUGCCCAGUUCAAUUCAUCUUCCCGUUCAGGGCAUGCUGGAAUAAGCCCUGUAAUUACCAGCUAAGCUGCGCUUGCUGCUGACAAGUGGUGAUAGCAGUAAGGAACAGCAGCAUGCUCUUAUUACAGGCCUGGAAUAAGUUUAGACGAGCAUGGUCUGCCCCAUUGCUGCUCAAAUGCUUCUGGGAAGUGGCAGCAGCAGCUUCUUGGAAGGAGAGAUAGUGGGACUUAUGCAUUAGACCAGAAAAGGCUUGAGGGGCGUCGUCGGCAUCUUGUUACUACAUGAUAAAGCAAAAUCCCAAACUCCACUCAUUAUUCUCGCAUCCCAAGCAGCAAAUGGUUAAAGAAUGCUAUAACAGACAAUUUAAAAUCCGAGACAUUCCUGAAUCCUUUGUGCAUCAGACGUCCCCUCCGCCCCCAACCCCAAGAUGAGGCAGUAGGGUUAACCACUAAAAUGAGCUAUUUUAUUUGACGUGAACAAACAAGGUUUUGAUGGGUUUGGUCAAAGUGGUUAACAAAUACCGAUGGGCUUGCCGCUUCAUGAUAUUUUCUCAGGGUUAAUGUAUGUUGAGCCAUGCCUGGAAUUUUAUAUUACUUUCUAAUGGGCGCUCUCCUGUGUGUUUUCAGAGCUUGGGGGGGGGGUCGGAGGUGUGUUUGAGAUGGGGUGUUUGGGGAUAGUGUGUGUGACACACAAAUCUUGCGCAUAAAGCGGUUACACAGACUUCAGCGUUCACAAACCAUUUGAAAACCUUCCCACUGAGAGACGCCAGCAGUAAGCCAUAUGCGCUAUUCAGAUCUGAAAACACAAUGAAAAUGCUUUUGUGGUUCACAACUGGUUGCAAAGAGUAAAUGAGGCAUGCCAAAGAAUUUCUUCUUUUGUAGAAACAUACAUGAGUGUGUUAUUUUGGUGUUUUGACUUGAAAGCGUUUUCCCUCAUUUUCCCUCCACUUUCUUUCUAAGCAAAAAGCAGCUGCAUAUUUUCAUAGAUCACAAUUAUCAGAUGAUGGCAAUUUAUAGCCUACGUUGUGGAGGGUUCCGGUGAACCACAUCCCUACCAAACGUUCUGCCUAGUCAGCAUAGUUUCCCCAGAAACAGGCGUUUUGCUCUGGCAUAAGUAUGUUUCUAUAGAGGCCUUCAGAAACAAAUCCAGCAAAACUCUUUCCUUAGUGAACGGCAAAGGUACCCUUGAGACUGAAGAGCUAAUAAUCUGUUCAAUUAUGUGGUCCUUUGGGCACCAAUAACCCCCAAAAUGGUUCUGGAAGUUGUUAUAAGUUUCCUUUAAAAAAAGAGCUACAUUCUUGUGCCUGAGUUGGCCCAAAACAUUUUUCUUCUUCAAGUGGAACAGCAGGUGGUGGCCCCCAACCCCACAGGUCAAGAUACAGAGUACCCAAAACUAGGGAUGGGCUGCCCAUACUGCUUUUUCUGUUUCCCAUUUUCCCAAUCUUAAGUUUAGUUCUCCGUGUUUCUACAUCAGUAUGCAAUUUAUUUUUCAAGUCCUCGAGAAAUGUGAUCAAGAUUUCAAUGCAAAUUUCACCUAACGUACACGUUUGCAUGCAACUUUGGCUAACGUAUACAUUUUUACGGCACUGCUUUCCCUCAUGCAAAACAUUUUUUUUGUAAGCUAUAUUUACUAAUAUAUGCAUUUACAUGCACACUUUAUAUAUUGGUAUGUACAUUUCUGGGCAUGUUUCUCAGCUGGAGAACUGCUUCACGAAACUUUGGAGAAGUACAAAGUUUGAAGGAUGGCUGUGUUUCAGUUUGUGUAUUGGUUUCGAAAGUGUGGGUUAAGUAAGUUCUGCUUUAUGUGCAAACUGAGUUUAAUUUAUGUCCCAUCCCUAUCCAGGGCCAGCCAAGCCGUUUUUGGCACUUGAAGCAGAAACUCCCACAAGCACUUCUCUUUCCUGCCGAAGAGUAAAAUGUGACAAUAAUAAAUUAAAUAAUUACUGGCUUCUCCCGACACUCCAAAUCUGCCACCUGAGGCACCUGCCUCACCGACAGUAGGGUCGGCCUCGCUUUUGUCCCUGAGGAAGUUUACUGUCAAAAUGCGUAGGACAUCUCGGUUUUUAUAAGGACGUUUGGUCAAUUUAGAAACGUUCUGCAGUUCUGUUUCGAGGCCUUGCCUCAACUUUUGUGCCCUUGUGUUAGGUGUGCCCCAUUAGGUUCUUCUUAGAGAACAUCAAUAUUUGGUAGGGUUGUGGGACCGAAAUAGGUUCGCCCAGCCAAGCAUGGAGCAGGAUGGCAGUACUCACCCAGACUUCCACUGGAGCUCUUAUUUGCCAAGAAACAUUCAGCCUCUGCUUUUAUCAGCUCCCACAAAUUCAAGGAAGGCAUCAGAUCAGAGGUUCCCAAAUUGUGCUCCGCAAGCUUCAUCCAGGUGCUCUGUGGCAUUCCUGUGGGUUUUAAGUGGUCCCAAGAACCUCAUCAAUUUUCAAGCAGUCCUUGGGGGAAAGUUUGGGAGCCAUUGCCUUAGAAAAAUACCACAAGCAGGUUCGAACGCAAUGCACUCCUAGGAAAUUGUUUGUUAGGGGAGCGUUCACAUAAUGAGCUGAUGGUUUCCAUUAUUUCCUAUGGGAACAUUUUUAAUCCGUGAUCUCUCCCUCUCUCCUGCCACAGUUCCUUAAAUGGCUGCAGCCACAGGAAAGACUGAUUUGUCCAAUCUCCCUGGCUCCCUGAUUGGUCUGAUCUCUACCCCACUCCUUUUCUCCAUGGUUCCUGCCCCAAAUGGCUGCCAUUGACCAGCAAAGCUCAAACAAGUAAGGAAGUGGGGAAACUUUGCCACUCGGAUAUCUGAAACAGCUGCACAUGUAGUGAGAUUUGGGCAUAUUUCUUACAUUCAGAUAAGCGGAUUUUUUCCAUAACGAGUGGGCGGAUAGUAGGACCUGCAUGUUUAUGUAAUAUAUCUCCUUUUGGCAAAUGCAGCUUAUCUUGAGGCACAUUCUGUGGCCUCCAGUGCUACAGUUCAACAGAGGCAACCUUUGGCACAAACAGUGGACUGUUGCUUUUGAUGUGAUGAGUCCCAAACACCUCAGUUCUGGUCCCCCACCCCUCAAAACCAUGCUGUAUGCAGUUGUGAUAGAACUUAAAGUUGUGGGGAGAGAGAGACUUUGCCCAUGGCUAAGGAAUGAAUUUGUGCCUUGCUAAAUGCAGCUUGGACUUUUUAUCUGUUUUAGGUUUAGGGAUGCAAGCAGCACAAGCCACAGGUUUCUGAUUCUGAUGGGAACUUUGUGUGGGAGCUGCUUGGAAGUACCUGUGUGUUUAUCCAAAAUAAUAGCAAGUGACAAGUACACAAUAUACCUUCUUUGUUUCUGCUGCUUCAUCCAUGAUCUCAACUUGCAUUAUAAAUCACCUUUUAUCUCCUAAGUUUGAAGAUGCUGGACAUCACUGAAUAUACAAAUAAGUGCCCACAGAGUGGCAGUUUUGGAGAGUUGCAGAGGAGAGUCAAAGAACUGAGUCCAGACUCUAAAGAAAGCUGGGAGCAUCUUGGGGUGAUUAUGGUUCCUUCUGGUGACCUGUUGUGGGUAGAAAUGUGAAGGCACAGGGGAAAGCCCCAAGAAAAAAAUUGGUAAAAUCCCAUUUCCCCCCAACCUAAUUUUUCCAGUUGGAAAAAAAAAAUGUUCUGCCUUUUUUUCUGGGCCUUCACAUCUCUGAGUGGGGUGGAGUGAACUUUGGGUAUCUGUCAAAGUGCUUCACCUGCAUAUUUACAAAAACACCUUGGAGGUCCCGGGCCACAGAGUGGUUAGGCUGGCCUCAACCAGAGCCAGGGCUUUUUCGGCUGUGGCUCCAAUCUGGUGGAACGCACUGUCACAAGAGACUAGGGCCCUGCAGGACUUGACAUCUUUCCGCAGGGCCUGCAAGACAGAGCUGUUCCACCAGGCCUUUGGCCAAGGCACAGCCUGACCCCCUCCUUUGGUAAUCCUCACAGAACUCUAGCCCAAUGGUCACCAUUAAUCUGAGUUGAACUGAUUUUAUAAUGAAAUGAUUUUAGAAUGUUGUAUCAUUUUACAGUGGUACCUCAGAUUAAGUACUUAAUUCAUUCCGGAGGUCCGUUCUUAACCUGAAACUGUUCUUAACCUGAAGCACCACUUUAGCUAAUGGGGCCUCCUGCUGCCGCUGCGCUGCCGGAGCAUGAUUUCUGUUCUCAUCCUGAAGCAAAGUUCUUAACCUGAGGUAAUAUUUCUAGGUUAGUGGAGUAUGUAACCUGAAGCAUAUGUAACCUGAAGUGUAUGUAACCUGAGGUACCACUGUACUGUUGUUAGCCGCUCUGAGCCCGGCUUUGGCUGGGGAGGGUGGGAUAUAAAUAAAAUAUUAUUAUUAUUAUUAUUAUUAUUAUUAUUAUUAUUAUUAAGACACAAAUUCCAGUAAGCGUCCAGCAGAGUCCAUACCUUGGAAAUCACAAUACCCCCUAAACAUCUCACCACUUGGAGAACUGGGGCUUGAGUACCAGUAGAUAUAUAUACAUAUAUAUAUCUCUGGUGAGGAGUGCUUUCUGAUGACAGGGUAGUUUCUCCUCAAAUUCUCUAAAUAUUUCUCAUCUUUGUGACCAUUAGUUUUGAAAGAUACCCCCCUCAUCCCUGAAAGGAAAAGCGAGACGUGGUUAUUUCAAUGCUGACAUCUUGGCAACAAUUAUGGGGAAAGUUGUUUAAGUUGUUUCAGGGUCAAGCAAACAUGACAAGUCAGACGAUGCCUCCAGAUGCCAAAGAAGUUAAUAGUCUGUGUAAUGCUAACUUCUCUAAAUUCCUAGAAUUGCUGUGGUCUCAAAUAUUUUUGGUAUUUUUUUACUUUUGUAGAUUCAGUAAAAUGCUCUGCUAGUGCAUAUCUCAGCAAAAAGGUAACUCCCUGACACUGCAUAUACUUGAAGAAGUAAAAUAUCCCAUAUAAAAUAGAUUGGAGCUGCGCUGGCAUUAAAUAUGAUCUUGGAUUCUAUCCUUCAGUGUAUUUAUUUCUCGUGCACCAAACUUAUCAGAUUCAAGGUCUGAUACCAAGAAAAAUUCGGGCAAAGAGGGUGGCAGUGGUAUGAGGAGAGGAGAGGACAGGACUUUUUGGAAACUCUAUUCUUUGAGGGUUGAGUGAAGCCAAUACCUUCAUGGGCCAAUAGUCUGACUCAGUAGAAGUCAACUUCCUAUGUUCCUAGAAUUCCUCUCCAUGAUAUCCGAAUGGUAUAGUGCAGUGGUUCUCAACCUGUGGGUCCCCAGCUGUUGUUGGACUACAACUCCCAUCAUUCCUAGUCAGCAUGACCAGUGGUCAAGGAUGAUGGGAGUUGUAGUCCAACAACAUCUGGGGACCCACAGGUUGAGAACCACUGGUAUAGUGGUUAGUGUUGGACUACAAGGGAGGCCUGUAUUCUGAUUCCCCUUUCGGUUCACCUUAGGCUAUCUUGGACCAUGUCUCAGCCUACUCCAUCUCAAAGAGUUGUGAGGUUGAAAGGGAGAGCAUGUAUACACCUCGAACCCCUUGGAGGAAAGGUGGGAUGUGAAUGAAAUAAAACGUUUUAGAAGGGUUGUAAGGCAUAGUGAAUGUCUAUAUGGAAGAGAGGUCCGUUUUGUGAAUCCCCAUCUGAAGUUGUGCAAAAAGUGGGUGAAUUAUGGGGGGGGGGGGGGAGGUAGCAAGCCUGAAUGAAAUCUACAAGCCCCGCCUCCUCCCAAGGGUCAUGGUUGAGUGACAGAACAUCCACUUUGCACGCAGAAGGUCCGUAGUUCAGUUCCCAGCAUCCCUAGCUAGGGUUGGAAGAGCUCCUCUCUGAAACCCUGGAAAGUCAUUGGCAGUCAUUACUCAGUCAUACUGAGCUAGACGGACCUGUAGUCUGGUUCAGUCUACAGCCGCUUUUUAUGUUCCUAAUUGUAGUCUUUAAACACAGUAGGAAGAGGACAAACGCAACAAGCAAGUAGCCUAGACUUUUAGAGGUCUCUGCAUCUCAGAAACAAUUGGUGAUGUGAUCAACCUGUGACUCCACUGUACCCAUGGGACGUGGGUGGCACUGUGGGUUAAACCACAGAGCCUAGGACUUGCCGAUCAGAAGGUCAGCGGUUCGAAUCCCCAUGACAGGGUGAGCUCCCGUAGCUCAGUCCCUGCUCCUGCCAACCUAGCAGUUCAAAAGCACGUCAAAGUGCAAGUAGAUAAAUAGGUACGGCUCUGGCGGGAAGGUAAACGGUGUUUCCAUGUGCUGCUCUGGUUCGCCAGAAGCGGCUUAGUCAUGCUGGCCACAUGACCUGGAAGCUGUACGCCGACUCCCUUGGGCAAUAAAGCGAGAUGAGCACCACAACCCCAGAGUCGGUCACAACUGGACCUAAUGGUCAGGGGUCCCUUUACCUUUUACAGUGGAGACACAGGUUGAUCACAUCAUCAACUGUUUCUGAGAUGCAGAGACCUUUAGAUAGUGUUUUUAUAUAUGAUACCUUCAGAGGAGAGGCUGAUGGGCUUGUCAAGCUGAGAAGCUUGCCCAUCUAGAAGAAAGAAAACUCUGAUUCUAAACCUCCACCAGCUUAUGGCUACAGUGAUACCUCGGUUUAUGAACUUAAUCUGUUCCGGAAGUCCGUUCUUAAACCAAAACAGUUCUUAAACCGAGGCACGCUUUCCCUAAUGAGGCCUCUCGCCACCAGUGCCCUGCCACCGUUUGGAUUCUGUUCUUAGACUGAGGUAAAGUUCGCAAACCGCGACACUAUUUCCAGUUUUGCGGAGUUUGUAAACUGAAUCGUUCUUAAACAGGACUGUUCUUAAACCAAGGUACCACUGUGUACUCAUUUCAGAGAACGGCUUUGGGAGUAAACCCUGAGGAAAAAUCCAUAGCCGCUGCCUUGUGGGACAUUUUCAGGAAAAGAAAAGGCCAAGGAGUAAAUGCAAAUCUGGAGUCCCUAAGACAGUUGGAUGGUGUUUUGUGCACAUCCUUUCUGCAACUCCUGCAGCCAAGCUGGUGCCAAGUGUAUUGGUCUACUUUCCUUUGAACCACAUUAGCAAGGCCAAGAGGCAGCGGGGUGUGUGGAUCUUGUCAUCUGGGCAACCCAGGACCUCCAUGCACACUGCCCAGGCUUGCGCCCCAGAGACAUCACUUUGGUGCUGCUAAUGCGGCAAAAACAGUGCGGGAGGCAGCAGUUAUGACUUACCGUUCUCUACAGCCACAGCAGGCGCUGUGAUUCUCCAGCAGUUUGACUUCACCCCUGGAGGUGCACUCCGUUGUCUCUCAAGAUGGACAGAUGCCAACAACAACUUACAGAGGCAUGUGGGUGAAUGCAUUACGAAAAGUUAUUAUCAGAAGUCCAGACUUCUGUGGCAAUGCUUAGUACAUUUUACCUCUGUAGGAACUCUUUGCAUCACAAUAAUGGUGUCAUUUGGAAAUGUUAUAUCGAGAUACCACGUGCCAAGAUGGGCAACUCUCAUUCCUAGCUCCUCCAUUAUGCCCAAAUGAUACCCUCUGGUUUAAUACGUGACAUUUAAACUCCGUGGCAAGGAAGGGACGUGGGUGGCACUGUGGGUUAAACCACAGAGCCUAGGACUUGCCGAUCAGAAGGUCGGCGGUUCGAAUCCCCGCGAUGGGGUGAGCUCCUGUUGUUCGGUCCCUGCUCCUGCCAACCUAGCAGUUCGAAAGCACGUCAAAGUGCAAGUAGAUAAAUAGGUACCGCUCCGGCGGGAAGGUAAACAGCGUUUCCGUGCGCUGCUCUGGUUCGCCAGAAGCGGCUGUCAUGCUGGCCACAUGACCCGGAAGCUGCAUGCCAGCUCCCUUGGCCAAUAAAGCGAGAUGAGCACCGCAACCCCAGAGUCGGUCACGACUGGACCUAAUGGUCAGGGGUCCCUUUACCUAAGAUGACAAGGACUCAGGGCAUCAGUCUGCUUUGAAGCAAGGUGUCGGCCAAACUGCACCUGAAGCAAAAAUCAGGUUGAUCCUCCUCCCACCCACACUUUGCCAAGAACAGAGGCUGAAUCUUCUUUGCAAGUCUCAGAGCGUCAACUUGAGUGGACCCUUAAACAAACAAAUUCUGAUUAGGGGCUGAAUGAAGGGCUCGUCUGACAGUUAUGUGGUCGGUACACUCACUGGUCCCAACCAGAAUGAAUCACAAGUUCAGAAAAACAACAUGUGGGAGGAUUUUUAUGUAUGUAUAUUUGGUGUUUGUUCAGACUUGUGUGUACUCUGCUCUCUAAAUGGGCUACUCUGUGCUGGUAGCCAGCUACUGACUACUUUAAAUACUGCCAUGCCCGUUCACAGAUUGUAGAUAAAAGAUAAUGGCAGUACCUUUGGAGUGCUGCAAAAUACCUUCCCAGUUGCUCAACCAAACUGUGGGGCUGUGAAAACUUCUUGAUAAAUUUCCUUUCUGUUAUCUCCCCCUCAAAGAUUUGUGCAUGCUAAAGUUAGGUAGCUUAGCUUACAAGUGGGACUUACUUCUAGGUAAGUGGUAAGUGUGCUUAGCAUUGCCAGGGCCUCCAUUCUCCAGGGCCCAGCCUUACUGCAGAUUCGUUUUCUUCUUGAGAAACUGCAUGAUGCAUAGUUCAGUUCAAAUUGGACGCUAUAAACAAUGCCUACCAAAAACGAUUCUGGAGACGAGCCAUGUGAUCUGUAGCCUUUGGCUGCUGUUUGGUUCAUUGUAAUCUGGAACUAGUUAGCAGUGACCAAAAAGCCGAAUAACCAUCUGAUGGGUUUCCGGUUGAUUCUCUUCAGUUUCUCCUCAAACAUAUGUCUCCCAUAGAACCCGUAAUUAAAACAGGACCUCUCAGAAGUAGCUAUGCAUUUGUGGUUUUAACUCUUUGUAUUACAGAUGCCUCUGCCUUUUGAGGACAGUGCAGAUGAUAGAUGGGUUUAGGCAGCUUCUGUUGUGUGUCCUAAUUUGUCACUAGAUUGAUGCCUUGUUUAGUGUCUUGGGGCAAGAAACCAACUGGCAAGGUCAUGUCUUGGGCUAAUUCACAGACAAUUUGGCUGUGAAAACCUAUCAAGGCUAUGGAUUAGGCAUCUCAUAGGAAGAAAAUUAUCUUGUGGUCCAGGUCGUAUUGGUUUUGCAAAUGAAAAGGAUGGUCCGGUUGUUACAGCUGUAAUGCAGCAGCUGAAAAGCACUGGAAUCAACAAACGAUGAAAUUAAUUAUCGAGAGAGGAUACAAAAUUGGAAUCAGGUUGUGUAACGUACAAGGACCUAAUAUAGAGGAUUGUUAAAAGUAAAAUUUAAAAAUCAAUUGUAUUACAAAAGCUGUAUUAGAAGAGCUGUGAUCCUAACCCUAAUUACCCAGGUGGGAGUAAGUCCCACUGAAUUCAAUGGGACUUUCUUCUGAGUGUACAUGAUUAGGUUUGUGCUGUAAAUAGGGGUGAGCAGAUCUGUCUAUUCCCACCCCUCUCGUUUUCUCAUUUUUCCAGUUUUCACUUCAUUUCUUCACAUUUCCACAUCUCUCUCUCUCUCUCUCUCUCUCUCUCUCUCUCUCUGUGUGUGUGUCUGUGUGUGCGUAAAUUCUCAUGAAAAUUAAUUAGCCUUUGAGUGCAAAUUUCUCCUAAUCGCUUCUAUGCAAUUUUGCACUAUAGACACAAUAUCCCCUAAUACCAUGCAUUUUGCACUUUAUUUUCACCUGAUGUAUCCAUUCUAUGCAUACUUUACCCUGAUAUAUACAUAUUUGUAUGUAUUACUUUGCUGAAGAACUUCAUUACAAAAUUCAAAGAAGCGUGAAUUUUGAAGAAUUUCUUCGGUCGCUCAGUGUUUCAAGAGCUUGAAGGAUUAUGGAAGGAUGGACGUAGCUUAGUGACAGAGCAACUGCUUUGCAUGCAGAAGGUCCCAGGUUCAAUCCCCAGUGUCUCCAGGUAAGGUAAAAGGUAAAGGACCCCUGGACCAUUAAGUCCAGUCAAAGGUGACUAUGGGGUUGCGGCGCUCAUCUCGCUUUUCAGGUUGAGGGAGCGGUGUUUGUCCACAGACAGUUUUCUGGGUCAUGUGGCCAGCAUGACUAAACUGCUUCUGGUGCAAUGGGACACCGUGAUGGAAACCAGAGUGCAAGGAAAUGGCGUUUACCUUCCCGCCCCAGCGAUACCUAUUUAUCUACUUGCACUGGUGUGCUUUCGAACUGCUAGGUUGGCAGGAGCUGGGACAGAGCAACGGGAGCUCACUCUGUCAUGGGGAUUCGAACCGCCGACCUUCUGAUCGGAAAGCCCAAGAGGCUCAGUGGUUUAGACCACAGCACCACUUGCAUUUCCCCCCAGUAGGGCUGGGAGAGACCCCUGCCUGAAAACCUAGCAAGCUUCUGCCAAUCAGUGUACACAAGAUUGAGCUCAAUAAACCAGUGUUCUGAAACAGUAUAAAGCAGUUCCCUGUGUUGAAUUUGCAGAGAGUCUGCUGACAUCCUCAAUUUUGACUUUUAGGCAUCUCUUGAAGACUUAAAAAAAAGGCCUAUGCAGUUGUUGAUUUUUUUUUAUAUAAAUAAGUUUAAUAGAAAUACAUACAUAAACAGAAAUUAAACCUAUACAAAUAAUUUUCUCAGUAAUGUAUCAGUUACAUUCAUAUUAAAUUAAAAGAAGGAAAAACGAUGUCUAUUUUAAUACUAAGUCCCACUCCACCAAAGGUGCCCUUCCCAUAUUUCUUCUAUUGGUAUAGUAAAUAAGGUAAUACCAGGUUCUAACAUAAGUAGCUCAUUUACCUUGGCCUCUUAGUGUUUUCAUAUUGUUUGUAUUUUCCCCCGGAAGUGCUGCUUGCUAGACCUUUUGAUACGAAUAUUCCAAUGUAGCAACAAUGAAGUUCUUUCAAUGCCCGGCCCUUAUGUGACUCUCUUUUCUGCUGAUUUUUACUUAUAAUCUUUCAGCUGAAUAUAGAACCACAGGAAUCUAUGUUGCUAAGUUUUAUCUGGUUCAUUGUUUAAAUUUCACUCUUUUGUAAGGUUUUUUAAAAAAAUUUAUAAAUAAAACAUAUAGCUAAAGCACAUUGGGCCACUAGGAUCUUGUAAAUACACGCCUUUUUGUUUUUAAUUUAAGUGUGUGUGUGUCUAGUUUGCAUGCUUGCAGUGAUGUGAAAAAAUUACCAUUUUAAUAACAAUGGGACAACCAGAAACCAACAAUGUUUGAAAAUGUCUCAAGCUUUUAACAAUUAUUUUUGGGAGAUGGAACAAAAAAAUUCCUUAAAUCCUUACAAGGUGAGGUUGCUUUCUCUUUCUAGUACCCAAUAUCAUCACAGAACGCUUACAAAAUGUCAACAACUUGUGAUUUGUCUGACAACUUUAUGUUUCAAAUUAAAUUGACAUAUAAUCAAAUAGGGCAAGCAUAUCAAGCUUGCUACUAAAUUGUCUAAGUUGGUCAACCAUUGGCCCACUGCCCACUCUUCAUAAGGAAUGUGCCUGGAAGAUCCUGUGUGUGUGUGUUGUGGUUGUGGUUUUAUUUACAAGCCAGUCUGAGCAGGUUGUAUGGCAGUUUGUGGCUUGGAAAUUUCCAGAGUGACUAUCAAAGUGUGUAACCUCUUCCAGGUGGUAGCAGAUGGGUGUGAGAGGGUUUAUGUUGAUGUGGAAAUGAAGUGAAGUCACUGUGGUUUAUCUAGGGUGAAUGGAAUGGAAAUUCAUGUUCAUUCUUCCUUCCACCAGCCAAUGAUUGAUAUUCCUGUCAAGCAAAUUGUAAUGAUUGUAUUAGUGAUAGCUGGCAGAACCAUCUUUUCCAAUGGGUCGGAUCCUACUCCCAGAAAAAAAACAAGGUUGAAAGUGGUAAAUGAUGAGGUGUUCUGGUAUGCUUUGCGACAUAAGCCCAAACCAAUCUGGUUGCCAAUACAAGAACUGGCUAAACAUUGUUGCUUAUAAUGGGGGGAUUCUUGGGUCAUCAGAGUUGGGGGGGGGGGUUGCUUUAAAUUUCAUCUGAUCUCUUUGACCCAAACACAUCUACCUUGCAAACCACUUUGAGGGGUUUUUUCUACAACCAUUAGGCAUAUAAAUGCUGUGAAAUAAAAUAGAAAAAUAAAUAAAUAAAUACAAGUCAUGUUGAGCCACUGAAAUUUUCAAGAGCAAUUGUAAUUUAUGCCAGCUAAGAAAAUAAGGCAUCCGUGGUGUGUCUAUAUAGAGCAGGGGUCAGCAAACUUUUUCAGCAGGGGGCCGGUCCACUGUCCCUCAGAACUUGGGGGGGGGGGGGCGGACUAUAUUUUUUGGGGGGAAAUGAACGAAUUCCUAUGCCCCACAAAUAACCCAGAGAUGCAUUUUAAAUAAAAGCACACAUUCUACUCAUGUAAAAACACACUGAUUCCCAGACUGUCUGUGGGCUCAAUUUAGAAGGUGAUUGGGCUGGAUCCGGCCCCUGGGCCUUAGUUUGCCUACCCAUGAUAUAGAGAGAAGAGCAAUGCCGCUGUGAAAAGGGAGAUUGAGAACUAGCAAUGUUAAGUUAGUAGGUGACCCAAGAACACUUUUUGGCAUUACUUGGUAAACUAAAAAGGUGAUAAUAAAUAAAUGUGAUAAUUACGGUAGACGUUCAUGAGAGUGACACAUCUUUUGCUCUGUACCAGCUAUUCUGGACUGCCUAUUUACAAUACGCCACCAAAUUUGGCGCUGAUUGUACAGUCCAAUGAAGUUAGUGUUUCUGUUUUGUGAUAGCACCACCAGGACCUUAGUAGUUCUACACCUUCCCAAGCCAAACUACUGAGCUUGAUGACUGAUUACUUGGAAAGCAUGUGACAAAUGAAUUAAUGCUUCUGUAGAUUAUGGCACUAUUUUAACUGAGGUCUAAAGCCAAAACUACAAAACAUGACUCAACAUUCUGCCCACCCCCCUGCUUAUAUUUAAAUUCUUCUUCUUCUUGUUGUUGUUUAGUCAUGACCCCAUGGACCAGAGCACGCCAGGCACUCCUGUCUUCCACUGCCUCCCGCAGUUUGGUCAAACUCAUGCUGGUAGCUUCGAGAACACUAUCCAACCAUCUCGUCCUCUGUCGUCCCCUUCUCCUUGUGCCCUCCAUCUCUCCCAACAUCAGGGUCUUUUCCAGGGAGUCUUCUCUUCUCAUGAGGUGGCCAAAGUAUUGGAGCCUCAGCUUCACGAUCUGUCCUUCCAGUGAGCACUCAGGGCUGAUUUCCUUCAGAAUGGAUAGGUUUGAUCUUCUUGCAGUCCAUGGGACUCUCAAGAGUCUCCUUCAGCACAUAUUUAAAUUAGCUUCUUCUUUUUCUGAGCUUUCUAGAAGAACGCACAGAAAAUAUUCAGAUUCAUUACUGAAAAUUAGUCAAGGGAGUCUCAACAACCUACAGAGGAUGGUUCCCCAUCUCUCCUUUAGCUGUACUCAUGAUAUAAUUAUAUUUAUAUGUUUAUAACGUGAGAGGCUUUCUGUUCUCAGAUUUGUUAAAGCCCACCGCCACUGCUUAAGAUUAUCGUGCGAAGAUGACUUUAAGUCUUGGCACUCUGAGGUGAUGUAGCUUCUCUUGGUACAAGUUAACGUGCUUUGAGAGGUCACUUGUAAACACUUCCCUGCUACAGGCUGUUUCUUCAAGUCAGAUUGUUAUAGGUCAACUAAUUUAAGAUGUUUCUCUUUUUGGAAGAUGUUUUUACGUGCAAAAAGAGAAUGAACUCCUUGCAUGGGAAAAGGUCAAACAAAUGGAAAGAGUUUUGAUAUGGUACCAUUGUUAUAGUUGCCCCUUCGGUGCAUCAUAAACCUAUGUAAUCCUUACAAAAUCUACAUUAACAAGGUGACACAUUACUUUGUUUCCAGAUCACUUCUACCUCCCACAGAUAGUAUUGUUCUGUUUUCCAUCAUAGUAGAGAACCUGAAGGCUUUACAGAGUUGUUGAAUCAUUGCUUAUUACACAAAGAUUUUUUCCAUGUGUUCGUUUGUUUUCUUGCUUAAUGCUCAUCAUGUGCCUUGUUUAGUCAUCUCUCCCACAUGCCAAAGAAUGGCCUCCUUCCUGUACCAUAGACAGUAAGCAGGACUAAUGCUGGUGCUCUUUGGGGUUCCCCACAAGUAGCAAUAGCGACAGGAGACCCACAAGGCAGGGGGCUUCAUUUAUUAAGUCAUAGUUGAAAGUGACAUUCUCCCAGUAAGGUUUGGUAGGAGAAAAUGGAUUUCUUCUGUCCCAUUUUAUAAUUCUUUCCAUGGUUUGGCUGUGCGUCAUGGUUUGUUCCAUCUACUUUUUUUUUUUUUAACAUGGAGAUCUUCUAAAGUGAAGAGUGUGAUUUUACAUUUUUGUCACUAGGUGGAUCUGAAAUAGAUGCAUCUGGGUGGAGUCAGGAGUUUCUUGAUAACCAAGUUGGUUAAGAAAGACAGUAACAUUCUCUGCAAGUUCCUAACUUGGUGAUUUUAGCAUGUCACCUCUUGUUUCAUCCAUUAAACAUGCCACUAAGGUAGUUAAAAAUUAUUUCAAAAUUAAGGAAGUUAAGUUAUGAAUCUGCAAUGCUUGUUAGAAAUUGCUUUCAGAUGGUCAUGUAAUUAUUCUCUCUUAGAUCAGGUGUGGUUAUCAUAAGGUGAAAUUGAUUAAAUUAAUGUAUCUAAGAAUGAAAGAGAGGAGACUAUCUUUAUUAUUUCAGUGACAAAAAAGUCCCUUUUCAUUUCUUCUACGGUUUAGGAUUAAUCCAAGGGUAGCCAAUGUGAUAUUCUCCUAUAUGUUUUGGACUGCCACUUCCACAAUCCCUUACUAUUCCUAGGCUGGCUGGGGCUGUUGGGUUGUAGUCCACAAGUUUAGGAGGGCACCACAUUGGCUUCCCCUGGUUUAGCUACACAGAACAGAAUCCAAAGUUGUAUUUUUUAUAUUGAUGUAUAAUAGCAGUUUGUUGUUAGCAUUUUAAGCUAUAUCAAUUUUUAUCUGUUCUUUAUAUUGUUGUCAAUAUGAGAGCUUUGAUGCUCAGGGCCUGAAUGGCUAAUUCCCAUUUGAACAAAGUAGGUGGGGCAAAGCUCUGUCAUAGAAUCAUAGAACUGUAAAGUUGGAAGGUACCUCAAGGGUCAUUGAGUCCAAGGACCCCUGCAAUGCAAGAAUCUCAGCUAAAGCAUCCAUGACAGAUGGCCAUCCAAUCUCUGCCAUCUGCAACCUCCCAUGAAGGAGAGUGCACAACCUCCUGAGGGAGACCGUCCCACUGUUGAACAGCUUUUACUAUCAGAAAGUUCAUCCUGAUGUUUAGUCAGAAACUCCUUUCUCACAACUUGAAGUCAUUGGUUUGAGUCCUGCUCUCCAGAGCAGGAGGAAACAGGCUUGCUCCACCUUCCAUGUGACAGCCCUUGAGAUAUUGGAAAGUGGCUAUCAUAUCUCCUCUCAGUCUUCUCUUUUCCAAGCUAAACAUACCCAGCUCCUUCGAGCGCUCCUCAUAAGGCUUAGUUUCCAGACCCUUGAUCAUCUUGGUUGCCCUCCUCUGCAUGUGUUCCAGCUUGUCAAAGUCCUUCUUAAAUUGUGGUGCGGGCACAGUAUUCCAGUUGUGGUCUGACCAAGGCAGAAUAUAGCUGUACUAUUACUUCCCUUAAUCGGGAGUCAACACUAUACUUCUGUUGAUGCAGCCUAGAAUAGCGUUAGCUUGCUUUUUUUUGCUGCUGCUGCUGCAUCACACUGCUGAUUCAUGUUAAGUUUGUCAUACUCUAAGACUCCUAGAUCCUUUUCACAUGUACUACUGUCACCUUAGGACUCCUUUUGUUGUUGUUUAGUCGUUUAGUUGUGUCCGACUCUUCAUCACCCCAUGGACCAGAGCACGUCAGGCACUCCUGUCUUCCACUGCCUCCUGCAGUUUGGUCAAACUCAUGUUAGUAGUUUUGAGAACACUAUCCAACCAUCUCGUCCUCUGUCAUCCCCUUCUCCUUGUGCCCUCCAUCUUUCCCAACAUCAGGGUCUUUUCCAGGGAGUCUUCUCUUCUCAUGAGGUGGCCAAAGUACUGGAGCCUCAGCUUCAGGAUCUGUCCUUCCAGUGAGCACUCAGGGAUGAUUUCCUUCAGAAUGGAGAGGUUUGAUCUUCUUGCAGUCCAUGGGACUCUCAGGAGUCUCCUCCAGCACCAUAACUCCUAGAGUUCGAUUUUAAUUAAACUGGAUUGCAGCAACAGCAGCACCAUGGCCAUCAUUUGGGGAGUGAAAAGGAGAGAGGCAAGAGGACAAAUCCAGAUAGAAGUGGAGGUUAACAUUUGAUCCUGAGUGUGCAAGGACUGGAGGACACUAACUCUUUGCUGGAGCUAUCUUUCCCUCUUCCUGAUAGGCUGAACUAGAGGAAGGAUGCUAACUAUACUGUUCUUGAAUAUAGUUCACCUGGGGGGGUUUUAGGUAACAAUGAAAAAAAAUGCACGUGGACCAUGUCAUUCAGUAGGAGUUCCUGAAUUGCAGAAUUUAGGUGGUCUUGUACCCAGAGGCCGCUUUCGACAUCCCCCAUCCAGAUGCCUGUAAGGAACUUCUAUGGUGGCCCCAGCUGUUCUGUGACCACAAGAAUCUCCAGACAAUUCAGGUCAUUGAAUGUGGACUAUAUAAAAAAGGUGGAGCUAAAGAGAAGAGGAACUGAAACAAGAUGCCAUUCACCUCUGCUUCACUUUGUAUCUGACACAUCCGUGCUUAAAACUGGUAGUUUUACUGGAGUGAUUGUGUGGCUUUCAGAACGUUCACAGUUGGUUAACGAAGUUCCUUGAAAUAUUUGGGCAGGAUGCAUUUAAUUGUACAUAACAUAUGGCUUUUCUUUUUGCAGCGCUGUAGAGACAUUAAAAAAAAAAAAGCUGCUCCUUCUCUUUUCGCCUCUACUGUGCAGCUGUGAAAACCACAUGCUUGCUUUCCAGGUUGGGCGGUAGCAACAUAAUCACUGUGCCUAAUGUAUUAGAAUUAGUAGUCUGGGGAGGAAAGCACCAUUCCAUUGGUAGAUAAAGCAGUGUAAGAGAAACUUAUCAGUGAUCAUAUAAGGAUGUGGAUUUCAUUAUACCUCACAGAUAUGAGAUAGGAGUUUUGCGACUUGCUAAAUGUCCGUAUUUGGAUUAAAUACGGAAGCUUGUUGAAUACUAAACAUAACCUGCAACCAAAGCCAACAAACAUGACAUCUGACAUUUUUUGGUCACAUUAGAAAGGCAAGCCUACAGCUUUUGGGAAAUUUUAAUUAAGUGGUAUAUCAAUGUCCUACUGGUCCAGCAGGUCGAUAGAAGUUUGAGAACCACUAUGCUAGAUAGUAAAAGGUAAAGGGACCCCUGACUGUUAAGUCCAGUCACGAACAACUCUGGGGUUGCGGCACUCAUCUUGCUUUAGUGGCCAAGGGAGCCGGCGUACAGCUUCUGGGUCAUGUGGCCAGCAUGUGGUGAACCAGAGCAGUGUACGGAAAUGCCUUAUACCUUCACGCUGGAGUGGUACCUAUUUAUCUACUUGCACUUUGACGUGCUUUUGAACUGCUAGGUUGGCAGAGGCAGAGACCGAGCAACGGGAGCUCACCCUGUCGCGGGGAUUCGAACCGCCAACCUUCCGAUCGGCAAGCCCUAGGCUCUGUGGUUUAGACCACAGCGCCACCCAUGUCCCAUGCUAGAUAGUAAGACUCAUCAAAUAUAGUGGAACUUACCUUUCGAAUGACUUGCACAGAAUUGUACUGUUGGGCUGCCAACUUAUAUACACAGUUAUCUGAGAUUAAAUUCUAUUGAACUCAUUGGACUUACUUUUAAGUACACCUAUGUGUGAUUGCACAGUUAAUGAACAUUGGGAUAGGAGGAUUUCCCCAUAAUAAACUAUCAAUGUAUAUCCCUUAUUCAAAUGAUGCAAUAACGCAUAUGGACUUCCUGAGUAAGGAAUUUUUGUGUAGAUCUUUUAUAAAGUUACCACUUUAUAAAAUAUUUUCAAUUGAUUUUGACUUUUACCAUCUUAUUAGUACACAUUUUGCACAUAUGGUAGAAUCCUAGUCAGUGACACGAAAUGGAAAGAAUUAUGUUUUGAAUCACUUGGAAGGAAGGAAGCCAUGAUGUCAUUCUCUGUUCAGUGUGGUUCCUUUUUUAACAAACUGAAACAAUUCGGUACAUGCGUUUUGUAUUUUGUGUACAAAUGUAAUUAUGGAAGUCCAUUGUCCACGAGAAGUGUCCAUUUCCUGUUCCUGUUUUCUCACUGGAUGCAAUUUGCAAAUUUAGCUGUUAUGGCUUUGCUCCAUAGCUUUCAUGGCAUCUCGCACUGAAAAAAAGUUCUGUAACCCUUCAUAUACAGACAGCCACAACAGGCGAAUUCUUUUACAUAUUGCCUUUAGCUUAUGGGAAACGGUGGCAAAGAAACCAGUGUUUGAUGUGUCCACCCAUAUAUUUGUUUUAGCUGAUGACAUGAUUGUAAUAUUCAUAGUGGCUUUCUGCUAGAUCAUCUCUGCCCGCAGAAGGAUUCCUGGAUGUGAUAUAUCAGAAUGUACUUGUUGGCAUGGUGCAUAUUGUGUAAAUAGCACUUUCUGUGGUCCAUUGUGGAAUUGGAACAGAUUUGUGUUUUGGCCAGUCUUCCUGGCUUGAAUAGCACUUUUGUGCUGACAUUGCUGUUGCCCGGUAUUGCGGGUUUCAGGAGGCUAAUGCAAAUGACUAUAGCAAUUUGGCGUGCCUGUUCACUGCUUUAUGGUGAAAUCGGAAGGGGAUAUAAUAAACACAUCCAGGACAUGUGAAUAUUUGUGAAUGCCACAAAUGUAAAGUGUCGUGUUUACCAAUGGCAUAUGAUGCCAAUUAUAUGUUUGCUUUAACUUGUCCUCCGAGGAUUUCAGGCACACAAAAGCCAUUGAAAUGAUACUAGAGGCUUGCAACCAGCAUUUUGUCUGGUAAAUUCCAAUAUGCCAUCCUCUCCUUGUCACUCUGGAGACCUGACCAGCAGACCGUGGGCGACUCUCUUCUGUGUCUACCGCACACAUAUCCCUAUUGCAGCCUCUUUCUGGUGCUCUCAUCCCCAGCACAUAGCUUAUAUGCACAGGGGGAUCAUGGGGACAUGUGUGCCAACCCGACUGCCAACAUCUCCACUGGCUCCAACCUGACCUUCUAGCAUUGAGUGGGAAGGUCUAGAGGAGAUUGUUUGCAUGCCCUUCCUGUGACUGGGGACCCUGAUUGCACUUUCAGUCAUGGGGAGGAUUCUAAACACAUUCAGCUGAAUGCAUGAAGGAUCUCCAGACCUUCAGUCUCCACGUGUAAAGGUUAGGUGGAGCCAAUGGUGAUGUGGAAGUUGGGUGUGCUUCUGUUGCAGCACGAUCCUCUUUGCAUGUUUACUUAGAAUUAAGUCUCAGUAAAUCCAGUAACUCUUACUGCAUCCUAUGUAACAAUGUGAGCCAAACUCUUACCUUACAAGGCCUCUGACUGCCAGUCCAUCCUCAAUCUGGUCUCCUGCCACUGCCCUCUUGAUCCUCGAUCUGAUUUGGUUGAUUUCUGACUACAAUUCCAUCCCUGAUUAUGUGUCUAGCCUCUGGCCGUUUGUUUUCCUUAGAACCUGAUAUUGACCUGUUUAGAGUGGAUCAUGUCAUUUGUGUAUUUACCUGCUCAGCCCUUCUACAGAAGAACAAGUCUGGCUGAAGAACAGCCAGCAUGGCUUCCACAGAGGUCUAUCGUACUAACCUUUUUUAGAGGGUCAGUAAGUAUGUGAAUAUUGGUUGUUAGAGGGGAGUGCAAUUGCACCCACAAUCUAUUUGAGAGCUUCUCACUGGUUUAUGGUUCCCCACUGUGACAACAGGAUGUUGCAUUAGAUGGGUCUUUGGUCUGAUCCAGCAGCUCCCAUCUCUACAUCCUUGGAAAUCUUUUAUUAAAUGACACUUGAUCAAUUAUUUUAAUGAUGUACAUCACCACGUUUCCUGUGCUCCUACAUCGGUUUGUGCUGCUUGAGUCGUCUUUUCUCAUUCCUGGAUUAGGUCGUAUUCGUUCCAUCUGUUAAACAUUUUAGCUCCAAGCUUCUUCCUGUCUAGUUAAACCACAUCUUCUUAUCCAUGUGUAUUUGUUGUUGGGCUGUGUCAUGCAGCAGGUUCCUUUCCUUGGGCCAAGUGAUGUUCAUGUGUUGAUCAGAGGAAGUUUAUAAAAAAAAAAAAAUCAAGAGAGAAGGAAAAUGUGGUUGAACCACAAGAGAUUUGAGGCAGAAGAUCAAAAAUAGAGAUGCUGGAGCAUGGAAAACCAAAAUAGCCAAACCAUCUGGGAAGAGGCUGCUGGGCAAAUGGAAUUGAAAGCUUCUGUGACCACGAUCAUGGAAGUCUUUCCGUUAUCAGACACACACUUUUAAAAAUAAGGUCCUAAUUUGGUGAGUAGCAAAUGUUAUACCCCAUUUUCUAAAGGGCUGUUGCUUAGCAGCUGUUAAUUGAUUUAAUCAGUAAAAUAAAGGUCAGUUACCAGAGGCACUGCCGUGUUAGAUUCUUGUGGCACCUUAAAGACCAACACAUUUAUUAUGACAUGGUUGGUGAGUACAGCAUCAGUUAAAACUGGUAUUUUCCCAUAGCCAGCCCAGCAUAAAAAGCUUAAGGGAUGCAGAGGUUCAAUUCAGCCAAUGACACCUUAGUUUUUUUAAACACAAUGGUGCAUAGUUCUUUCUAUGACAUGAGACUUUCUUGGAUUUGAAUACAUAUGUGAAUACAUAUGAGCCAGUGUGGUGUAUUGGUUAAGAGUGGUAGACUCGUAAUCUGGUGAACUGGGUUCGAUUCCCCGCUCCUCCACAUGCAGCUGCUGGGUGACCUUGGGCCAGUCACACUUCUCUGAAGUCUCUCAGCCCCACUCACCUCACAGAGUGUUUGUUGUGGGGGAGGAAGGGAAAGGUGAUUAUUAGCCGCUUUGAGACUCCUUAAGGGGAGUGAAAGGCAGGGUAUCAAGUCCAAACUCUUCUUCCAAACAUAUGUUGUAGUCCGCUGCUUUUGCCAUACACAAAAAAAAUUCUAACUAGGGACAGGACAUUAGGUGUAGAAUUAUUAAUUUCCAGCUUCAUCAGGGUAAGUAAUAUGGGCAAUAAUCACCUAACUCAGACUCAGAAAAGGCUCACUUAAAUAAGUGUUCUUGGUCUAUUUGGUCUUAGGUUUCAGUGACUCCGGUCUGAGUUUGACUAGUGUUGGCUAUAUAACCCUAUCUUGUCUUGCCCUGUUUGUUUAAAAAGGUAAAGGGACCCCUGACCGUUAGGUCCAGUCGUGGACGACUCUGGGGUUGCGGCGCUCAUCUCACUUUACUGGCCGAGGGAGCCGGCAUACAGAUUCUGGGUCAUGUGGCCAGAUUAAGUGCUUCUGACGAACCAGAGCAGCGCACGGAAACGCCGUUUACCUUCCUGCCGGAGCGGUACCUAUUUAUCUACUUGCACUUUUUGGGGUGCUUUCGAACUGCUGGGUUGGCAGGAGCUGGGAUCAAGCAGUGGGACCUCACCCCUCCAUGGGGAUUUGAACCGCCGACCUUCUGAUCGGCAAGCCCUAAGCUCUGUGGUUUAGACCACAGCGCCAUCCGCGUCCCUGUUUGUUGACCAUUCCUCAAAUGUAGGCAAACAGAAAUAAACAAUCGGAUUACAAAUGCCCAAUUUAAAGCUGGUUUCAUGACAACGUUUACCUGUGCAUUGUUCUGUACUGCAGAAUGAGAGCAAUGGAAUAUCCCAUUACAGGGACCCACAGGAGAUGCUUCUGUCCAGAUGUCCAGGCAGGGGCAGGGGGCCACAGCACUCCCAAUGUGCAGUCCAGUGGGGGAUUUACUCCUUGAUGUAGGUUAGGGACUCCCUCAUUUUUGGUUGAUCCCAAAACCUAAGUUCAUUCAGCAGGCAGGCCAGAAAGGGCAGGGUCUACCCAAUGCCUAUGCAAAACUGCUUACAUUGGUAGUCAAUAAAGUUGUGGCCUGAUUUCACCCAAAUAUUUGUUGUCAUGCCUCUUAUUCUUGGGAGGACCGAAGGAUGGGGGGAGGGGAUGCAGAGCACACCCUUUAUUUGGUAUUUUCCCCUGGUGGUGAGGCUGGUCUCUAGAAAUUGGGAGGGUGAUAUUCUGUGACCAUCAUGAGCCACUCAGCACUUUCAGGUUUAGAUUGGAAAUGAAGUGUCUUUUUUUUGGCGUUUUUGGAAGAAGAAGAAGAAGAGGAGGAGGAGGAGGAGGAAGAAGAAGAAGAAGAAGAAGCAGCAGCAGCAGCAGCAGCAGCAGCUCAACAAAGCAGUUCCUGACUUUAUAAGAACUUGUCCUUGUUGUAUUGUUGGAUGAGCAUUUUGGAAGUGUGCGUUGAACAUUGUUUUGAAUUUGCCUUUUAAUUUAUUUUAUCAGUUUGUAUUGCAUUUUUCUUAAGUUGCUUUGAGACAUCUGUUUUUUGUGCAAAGCAACUAACAUGAUGAUGAUGAUUGAUAAUUCCCAUGUUGUUGAUUUCACACUUAGUGAAAUGUUGGGCUAGGGUAAUCGUUGCAGACAACCAAAUUGAAUGGGAGGCUGAAGAAAAUGUGAGGCAUUCAAGAUGUUAAGUCGGAAUGUAUUAGUCUUGUUAUGCUUGUAAUAUGUUGGCCGCCAUCAAAAUCUAAGAGGAUUUGCAAGCAGUGAAAUAAAUGUCAGCCUGCCCUAUUGGCAAGCAGGUAUUUUUUUUCCAGUUUGGUGGAUUCUUUUUUUAUAAUGUCACUUGGCAAAUUGUGUGCGCUUUCGGGGACUACAUCAAUCAUAAUAACUAAGAAUGUCACCUUUGCAAGGAGAGAAGCGGCCCAGCUGCUUCCUUGAAAUCUGUAUGUCAUCCUCAGAGACUAAAUGAAAUAAUUGAAGUAAUUGAAAUUUAUUUUAUCCUACCUGCCGCCACCAUUUCAUGUAACAUAUAUUAUUUAAGGGAGUUGGCACAUAUUUAAAUUUGUGGAUUGAACAAUUUGUGAUAUUCAGGGGUGUAAAACUUAAGUGCACUGUGGUGUUUGCCCUCCUAGGUGGGUCAUAAGGAAAGGGUUAAAUGAGUGUGAAGUGAUUGGCCAGUGGGAACCCAAGGGGAGGAGUUAGAGUUGGAGUUGUUGGGACGUCAGUUGGGAGUUGGAGAAGGAAGAGGGAGGAUAAGUCUGUGGGUUGGUCUAGUUUUGAUGUGUAAGAGUGAGAGAAUCUGUUAGGAGGAGUCAGAGAGACAGUUGGCAUAAUCAGUUCGAAGUUAUUAGGAAGGUAUAGGCCGGUAAAGAAACUAAGAUUAAGUAACUGACAAGAAAAAUUAUCUGAAACCAUAAACUUGUUAAUGCUUAUAAAAUAAACUUGCUUAUUUGUUUUAAUGUUAACAACUGUCUGGACUCUGUGUGUACCCGAGAGAAACGGGUUGGUGGCAGCGGGGAAGCAAUCACAGUGGUGGCACAGGGAUCAAUAGACCGUCAAACGUCCGGGGACCCUGUGUGAUCACCACAUGCACGUUACUUAAUCUAGAUGUGGGUGACGAGGCUUCCUCGCUAGGGCUUUGUUGAGUGUAUAAUUUGGGGGUGGGGAGAGCAAUAAAAGCAGAGUUUUCUUGCUAAUGAAGCAUGAAGGCAGUGAAGGAAAUGGGGAAAUAAACAAUUGCGCAUUAAUUGGGGCCACAGGCUGUUAGUGUCUCAUCAGGCUCUUUGCCAGCUUAGUAAAACAAAUCUCUUUCCUAAAGGAGUCCUAAAGUAAUACAGUUUUUCAACCCCUGCUGUCUUACUAAAAGUCCCUGGAACAUGCUGGGGAUUUUUGAGAACUGGUGGCUACUGCUGUCCAAGUGAAAAGAAAAGGGUAGCUGUGCAGCUCUCUUGAGGUGAAGCGAAUGGCUUGCAACAUUAAAUCAAUUCUAAAUGCAUCCUCUUGCACUGUUGGCUUUCUCCUGAAGGCUGUGAUACAAAGAUAUUUGCUUGAGUCUUAUUUCAUUCCUCUGUUUCAUUCCACCAACUCUCCUCUCCAUCUGCAGCUCCCCUUCUCCCCAAAUCUUUCACCAUUGCAUGGGUUGUUCGGUUCCCAACACACAGGAGGCUGCAGGGGAAAAGGGAGAGAUAGGAAAGUCUUGCUCUGUUCAUGUCAGCUGUCUUCUGUUCAUGGAAUGGAAGUGGGGAUCCAAGCCGCUGAGCAGAGCCUGCGUUUCACAACAUGUUGACAGCAAUGCAACUUGACAAAUAGAAUGACAUCAUCGGGGGGAAAGGACUAUGAUACUGAAGGUAGUUUCUGGGAAUUUGCUGGUGUUUGGGGUGAUGUUUGGCUCACCAGGAGGCAGGUGUGUGUGUAUCAUGUCUGGUUUUGAGUUUGUUUUUAUUAAAAGGAAACUACAAACCUCAUGUAAUAAUAGGCAAAGGCACAUGCUUGUUAUUCAUUGACAUGAAGUCACCCUGUCGUGCGAUGUAACUGGGGGACCAGGCCAGAGGACAUUUUGUGUAAUUUUCCUUUCAAGUAGACUGCCAUCAUCUCCCUUCUGCUCCCUAGCACUGAAGUGAGAGGCACCUCAAUACUAGGGGGAUUUACCUAACCGUAGGUAAAUGUGUAAAUGUGGAGAACUGAAUGGAAAAAUGAGAAACUGAGAUUGACAGAGUAGCUUCAUCAUUGUUAUUUUAUUUGUAUGCUUCAUUCACUCAAUAUGACUUACAAUGCGGAACGAUUUACAUAAUUACCGUAUUUUUCGCUCUAUAAGACGCACUUUUCCCCUCCUAAAAAGUAAGAGGAAAUGUGUGUGCGUCUUAUGGGGCGAAUGCAGGCUGCGCAGCUUUCGCUGAAGCCAGGAGAGCAAGAGGGAUCGGUGCACAGGAGGAGAAAUGGAAGGGGCUCCAUUUCUCCUGCUGCUUCGCUGAAGGGGCGCUGCGCAGAGAGGGAAAGCUGCGCAGUGCCCCUUCAGCGCAGCAGCAGGAGAAACGGAGCCCCUUCCAUUUCUCCUCCCACUUUGCUGGAGAAGCGCUGAGCAGAGAGGGAGAGAAUUUUUUUUUUUUCUUGUUCUCCUCUAAAACUAAAACUGCAUCUUAUGGUCGGGUGCGUCUUAUAGAGCGGACAAUACGGUAUGUACAUAACAAAAGUAACCCUAAACAAUAAAUGAAACACAUCAAAAAGUACUGCAAAAUUUGAACAAUUUUCACAUAAAUUAUAACAAGAUCUAAAAAUAAAGAUGCUGAAAAUUAAUAUCGAUAGUAGCAACAAAAACGUGAUUCUACUUGCUACUUAAGGGUGCUUGUCCUACAUUGGUUCAGAUAUUAAUUUGUUACAUUUCAUAUUCUGCCUUUCUUCAACCAUGGCAGUGAAAAUGGGGGUCCUAAGUGGUCUCUCAUCCAAUCACUCGCCAGACCUCAACCUACCUAGCUUCACCAAGGCUGCUGCAUCAUGUACCUUCAGAUCAUAUUAUAUUUUGUACCGUUAGUAAUAUAAUCUAUUUGAUUGGUGUAGGUCAGUUCAGUUUUGAGUGUGUUGCUAAAACAAAACAACAACUAGAUUACUUAAUGGGCAGAACAGUUUAAUGAAAUUGGCAGCUCACUCACAUUCCUCCCCAGUCCAGGAAAGGUUUUGCAGAAGCAUGAGACGGCUGAUUAUUAUAUUUUUAUAAAUUUUAUUUACAACGUAACAUAAACCCCCCACCCCCAAUAUACAAAUCCACCCUCAUUAAACAUGAACAUAACAUACAGUGAGCAUAACAUACAACAAUACAAACAACCAAAUAAAAUACUUCCUUUAUCCUUUAUGUGGCCUCCUUAUUUACUACUUAUAAACUGUUUCCUUUAUGAAUAAUUAUUAAGAUUUUCCUAAUUAUAACUUAAAUAUCCACAAAGUCUCCUGCAGACAUUAAUCAAAACAAGUCCAGGUAUGUAUUUUAGGGCACUGUUUUGUGAAGUAUUCUCUGCAUUUCCCCCAUGCUUUUUGAAACUCUUGUCUAGUGCGAUCUCUAAUUGCCUUUGUUAAUCUAGCCAGUUUAAUAUACUCUAUCAGUUUGUCUUGCCAUUCCUUGAGACAACUGAAAAAACCGUCCUGUAACAGGACAUCCCUAGCUUGCUAGAUCAAAAGAAGGCCUCUCUAGCUCGCCUGGCCUUGAAAGUGAUGUUUGAUUCAACUCCCACAUUUGCCCUUUGCAAAGCUUGCUCUCUUACUGACCAGCCUGCUCUUCCUAGACUCAGAACUGACCCUGAGUCAAGGAACGCCAGCCUCAUACUCUGCAACACUGCAUGAGAGGGUGAAUAAGGUGUUGUUGGUUGUUGGUCUUUUCCCAAAUAUUGUCAAGGGGCACGAGAAAGUCCUUGUUUCCCUGCUCGCUUGCUUUUAUCUGCUGACAUGCAUAAGGGAGCAGCCAAGCUGAUCGGUUUCUAACAUCCUGCCUCAGUUCUGGAUUGCCCCAAGGGGGGCACAGGUGAAGGAUUUGGAAUGAGCGUUCCCACUGCACACAACAGAAGGUUUAAAUUAGGAAAUGGAAGGAAUGUGUUGCUCCAAACAAUUUUGCUAUAGACCAGUUUCAUGCAAAGCUGACAGUCUUACGCUGGGAGCUUCUUGCAUUUAGUUAGCAUUACCUUUGCUAGCAUGUUCAUGGAAGUCAAUCUUACUCGGCUACGAGUGAUCGCCAAAGAAGAAAAAAGGGCAUUCUCAACUGGGCAGGUUGGAAGCCUGGUGUCUCAUGUCUUUGUAUCAAAGUUGAGCUUUAGAAUGAGACGUUUUUGGAAGAUACAGUGGUACCUUGGGUUAAGAACUUAAUUUGUUCUGGAGGUCUGUUCUUAACCUGAAACUGUUCUGAACCUGAGGUACCACUUUAGCUAAUGGGGUCUCCCGCUGCUGCCACGCCGCUGCCGCACAAUUUCUGUUCUCAGCCUGAAGCAAAGUUCUUAACCCGAGGUACUAUUUCUGGGUUAGUGGAGUCUGUAACCUGAAGCGUCUGUAACCUGAGGUACCACUGUAGAGUAUUACAGUCCUGAUCAUGAAGGAUCCAGUGAAGUUGUGGGGCUUAAAGCCAUAACCCUAUGCAUGUUUACUCAGCUCUCUCACUGAUUUCAAUAGGAUUCCUUAAUAAACAUGCAUGGGAUUGCACUCAGGCAAGGCAAACCAAAGCAUCCACCAUAUGAGUUUAUAGCUGUAUAAUGCCAGCAUAGCAUAGACAAGAUCAUAUGUACUCCCAACAGACAAACUGAGGGGUGGGUGGGAAAUGAAUAUAAAAUGAAUGCAUAUAAAAUGAAUACAAUUUAAAUGUGAUUUGUGUGUGUGUGUGUGUUUUAAUCUGCAAUAAAGUGGGCCAAGAUAAACUCUGACAGAACGCAUGUGAAACUGACAUGGAAUCAAAGUAGAUUGGUUCAUCCAUCCCUACCAAGAGUCGAUGAUUGCAUAGGAGAUAAGAAAAAGUUCUGCAAUCAUGCUUUGAGGCAAGGUGCUCCCCUUUCCUUUAACUUCAGUCGAAUGGGGUGGUCAUGGACCCCCAGUUUGGGAGAUGAAGCAAAAGUUCCUCUUGGCUGGUUUAGAACUCUAAAGCAGAAUGCCUAUUUAAGUGGUAGCAUUUAUUCUCCCUAUAUUUGUUCUGAAGCCCUUUCCACGAUAGUUUCCAUCAGGGAAGUUCUUUCCAUUUUCUCACAAGGUUGGUGGCAUUAGGCCAGAGGAGUGAUAAACAGUCCCUGCGAUCCCUGUUGUCUUUUUUAUGGCUACCCCAUCAAGGUGUCAUAUUCUGGUACUUUGUGAAUGGCUUCAGACUAACCACAUUUAUCCAAUGCUGUGUUGUGGCUAUGUGGGCAGGAGCUGGGAUGGUGAAAUAUACUUGGAGUCGAGUGUUGAUUUCAUACUCUUUAUUUCAGCUCAUGGCAAACAGGGAGUGAGUCUUCCCAAAAACCUCUGGAUAUAUAUACCGUAUUUUUUGCUCUAUAAGACUCACUUUUUCCCUCCUAAAAAGUAAGGGGAAAUGUGUGAGUGUCUUAUGGAGUGAAUGCAGGCUGCGCAGCUAUCCCAGAAGCCAGAACAGCAAGAGGGAUUGCUGCUUUCACUACGCAGCGAUCCCUCUUGCUGUUUUGGCUUCUGAGAUUCAGAAUAUUUUUUUCUUGUUUUCCUCCUCCAAAAACUAGGUGCGUCUUGUGGUCUGGUGCGUCUUACAGAGCGAAAAAUACGGUACAUUAUUUACACAAUGGGCCCCACGUGAUUGGCUGAGUCAACUCCCCUCCUGGAGCCUGAUUGGGCUGCUGCUGCAGGCCAAUCAGGUUGCUGAUUCACUUCCUAUUGGAGCCAGAUUGGGUGGCUCCUGCAGAUCAAUCAGGAUGCUGUCUUCUAGGAUCCUACUUGUCUAUUGUUCUAGGAUCCAAGCUCAGUACAUAACACAGUGGUUCUCAACCUGUGGGACCCCAGAUGUUGUUGGACUACAACUCCCAUUAUCUCUGACCACUGGUCAUGCUGGCUAGGAAUGAUGGGAGUUGUAGUCCAACAACAUCUGGGGGCCCACAGGUUGAGAAACACUGACAUAACAGAUGGGCAUUGUGUCUGGGCUCCCUGUUGAGUUCAACGGAAGCAUUUUGCUUUGCCCCGCUUCUUUUGCGAGCAUGUUAUGCCCCUGAAAGAAAGAAGAGUGGUCCGAGGAAACCAAAUCUGCUGCUUCUUCCCAGAUACACACUCAGUGCUGUGAUGGGCAUAUGCUGGUCUAACCUUACACUGGCAUAUCCCUGAAGAUCUGUCAACGCAGAAUCCCUGAGGACAUAGCCCAAAUCCUAAAGUUCUCCAGCUGAUCUAGCUUGGAAAAUAUGAGCGUUCAGCGAGUCACUCGGCAACUUGUUUUGAGUUGUAACUUGAAUGUUUCCAGUUAAAAAACUGCUCCGAAUGUGGAUCAAAAUCCCAUGAAAAUGCAGGAGCAACCAAAGUUAAUGCCAUGCGGACAAGAUGUCAACAAGGCACACCCAUCGUUCUGGGCUCAGUAGCUCAGAUGUAAUGAAAGCCAAAGCCAAACAGAAGACAGUCAAAAACCCUGUUCCCAAGUGGGUGUGACCAUAUAUUAUACAUGUCUCGUUUGAAACAGGCCUCUUGCAACGGGUCAUGUUACAAACCAAGUCUGCCAACUCAUCAGGCCGAUGGUAACAAAUGAGUCAAAACAUGAAUUUUCCCUCCAAUUCCACACAUUCAUGCAUCUGGCGAAUUGGGCUGUGGCGCAUUACAUCUCUGAGUCUUUUUAAGGUGUGUCACAGGAUUCUGGAUUUUUAAAUUUUUUUUUGCUGCAACAGGCUGCCACAACUUCCCCCACUUCAGUAUUCCACACACUGGAAAUCUUUACAGUGAGUCAAGAGGCAAAAACUCAUUUUUAUAACACUUCUAUGGGCAAUUUAAAAUGGGUGACUGCAGCUGGAAAUGACCCACCCAAACCGCUCCCUUUGCUUGCAGUUGAGCUGCUUGCAUUUUAAAUGGUCUCUUAAACUGAUCAUUAGACCAUAGCUAGAAAGUGAAUCUAAUGAAUAGAUGCCUAUUUUAAAGUUCAGUAGCAGUCAUCUUACUUUUACUUUGUGUGUACUACUUUGGUAAACCAUUUUGCUUGAUCUGAUUUUUACGAACAUGGCAGACCAGCUGAACUGAGGGCUAGGGGAGCUGUGGUUCUCCAGAUGUUGCCGGACUCCAGCUCCUAUCAUCCCUAGCCAGUAUGACUCAAUGGUCAGAGACGAUGGGAGUUGCUUCUACCACAACUGGUUGGAAUAACAGCUGAGAUUUACAGCAUUUUCAGUUAUAAUGCAGCUCCAUAAGGAUGAUUUUUAGGACUUUCAAGAUCCAGGCUAGCAUGGCCUAGUGAUGUGACUGGAUCCAUUCACUAAUUAGCAUGUCAAAAAUGGAGGGGGGCUUUAAAUGUUAAUGUUUGCUGAGCCUAUGUCUUUUAAAAAUAUAUAUAUAUAUAAAUUAAUUUGUAACAUACAAAAUUAUAAAACGUACCACACAAAAUUAUCACAAAUACAAUCCUACUGGACUUCCAUCAGCACCUCUGAUAAUCCUCCAUCUUACAUCACAUCUUAUGCAUUUCCUAACUUAAUACUGUCUUUAUAUCUCAUAUCCUGUCUUCUCUCCUUUUCCGUUUUAACAAUAUUUCCAUUAAUACUCGUCACAGAACUUCUUGCAAACCUACAAACGUCGACUGGUCAUCACAAAUACUCUUCAAAUAGUCCGUAAAUUUACUCCAGUCUUCGGUGAACUUCUGGUCCUGCCGGUUUCGGAUCCUUCCUGUUAGUUUGUCAAGUUCUGCGUAGUCCAUUAAUUUCAUCCUCCAUUCUUCCACCGUUGGUAUUCUUCUUCCUUCCAUUUUUGGGCCAAUAGUAUUCUUGCUGCUGUUACUGCAUAUGAAAAAAGCUUACUUUCCUUUCUAUUUAUAUCAUUUCCAACCAUACCCAAGAGAAAUGCUUCUGGUUUCUUUAUAAAUGUAUAUUUCAACAUUUUUUUCAUCUCAUUAUAUAUCAUCUCCCAGAAGCAUUUCACCUUUUUUGCAUUCCCACCACAUGUGAUAAAAUGUUCCUUCUUUUUCCUUGCUGAGCCUAUAUCAUUAGGUAUGUGUUCAUUGCCCUCUUCUCUCUCCUGACUCAACCUUACCCAGCAGCAGAGAGGACUUGCAGUAUAUCUUUUGUUGGAUGCUAUCGUAGCACACAUGAGAGAGUACAUUAGAGCAUCAUGAAUGUGACUCAAUCUGAGCUAGGUGAAGUUUCUCUCUCUCUCUGAUCUGAUUAGGUUGCCUAGGAGUACUCCAGGAUCCAGUGUUGUUUUUUGAAGAGCAGACUAGAAUAGUGGCCAGGAAUGCCAUUCCCCAUAUUUGACUCAUUAGGACCCCGCCCCUUUGCUAGGCAUGCUUUUGUAACUUUCAGGCUUGAUUACUACAAUGCCAUCUUACAUGGAGCUGCCCUUGAAGAUGACUUUUCUGAUUCAGGUGAUGCAGAAAAAUUCUGUAUGCUUUCUGACAGGUGUUGGAAUGCACAGUCCUAUCCAGCCUGUUCCGUGGCAGCUGUGUUGGCUGCCAGUUUCCUUCUGGGCUCAAGGUAUUGGUUUUAACAAAGCUUUGGAAACACUGGGACUCUCACACCUCAAGAACUAUCUCUCUACUCACCUGUUAAGGUUCAGUCCAGUCAAUGUUACUGGUGUGUCAUCUUUAGGGCCAGUGCAUAGUAGUGGGUAGGCAUCAGCUGAGUUGACCAGACUAGUUUAUUAGUGGCUAUUGGUAAUGGUGAUGAAAUGUCUUCUAAACAGAUUUGGGGUCAGGUUUGGCCAAACGCUAAAUGGGACGUGGUUGGCACUGUGGGUUAAACCACAGAGCCUAGGACUUGCUGAUCAGAAGGUCGGCAGUUCAAAUCCCCGUGACGAGGUGAGCUCCCGUUGCUCGGUCCCUGCUCCUGCCAACCUAGCAUUUUGAAAGCACAUCAAAGUGCAAGUAGAUAAAUAGGUACCGCUCUGACGGGAAGGUAAACGGCGUUUCCGUGCACUGCUCUGGUUCUCCAGAAGUGGGUUAGUCAUGCUGGCCACCUGACCCGGAUGCUGUACGCCAGCUCCCUUGGCCAAUAAAGCAAGAUGAGUGCUGCAACCCCAGAGUCGGCCACGAUUGGACCUAAUGGUCAGGAUUCCCUUUAGUUGUCUUGAAGCUCUUCUUAUCAGCUUCCUCACAGCAUAUGCCCACCGUUGUGGGACCAGAUAAGUGUUUCGUCUGAACCAGCAAGGAAUUUGGAUUCUAAAUGGGGAGUUUAUUUCUCUGCACGUUUUCACAAUUUCCUGGAAAUCCCUCCCCCCCCCCCAACUCUUGUGAUUUUCUUUCAGGAAAGCCUCUAAAAGAGAGUGCAUAUGUUUACAGGGAGAAAACACCCAGUCCUACAGGACAGGAAAUGUUGCCCCAGGACUCACCACAACUUGGAAAACUAGGCAAAGAUGGGAACAAGGCAAGCAUGGAAUGAAACUUACUUGUGUGUUGAUGUAGCUUGGUAUCUAAGUGCUUUGGGUAAAGGGUGGA